UGUUUGAUUGUUCCCAACUUUGUCGCAAUUGAUUGUCAUCUUGUAAAGCUACUUGUAGAAGUAACAAAUAAAACUGUUUAGCACAUGGUUCACAGUACUGCUUUGGUACCCAUACCAGUACUGUACUAGUACACUGUCGAUAUGGCUUGGUUCAUGGUGCUGAUACUCAAUAUGGCUCCUGACCAAGUAUUACUUUACUACAAGUAUGAUACCGGUAUGGUAUGGUAUGCUCGGUAUAGUAUGAUACUAACUGAUAUGGCAAACCUUGAUAUAAUAAUUCUAUUUUGCUGGCAGUUUUGGACUAUAUUCUGUUAAAUAUUUGUGAACAUGAGAUACAUAAUAUGUGAAUCGAUCUUGUGAUGUGUUUCAGGCUGCGGCAAUUAGGUUGGAAAUCAGAGGUGGUCGGUGGAGAGAUGCUUACAUGCAAAUGGAUGGGGAGCCAUGGAAACAACCAAUGAGUACAGAGUAUUCAAGUUUCGUGGAAAUAAAAAGGGUGCCAUUUCAGUCACUUGUAAUAAAUGGCGAGUGAUUACAAUGAUUUAUUGGAUAAGGUACAUAUCUAAAGCAUGCAGUGAGAUAGCAAAAAUGCAUGCAGGCUUUACUGUCACUGGAUGGUCAGUUAUUUCAUUUCAUUUUAUUUACUUAUGGUCUCAUACAGAAUUACUGCUGAGGGAAACUAUUUGUGAGGCAUGCUUAGUGUUUUAAUUGGCUCAGGUCCAUAGUUUCUUGUUUCAUAUAGGUGGACUGUAAUAUCUAAGUUUAGCUUUUGGCAUCAUUGAUGUUUGCCCUUCCACUUAAAUAAUCAAGUAGGAAUUAUAUCCCUUUUUUUUUUCUUUUACAUUUUACUCCAUUUGCAGAAUCUAUAUGGAGUCACUUGGAAACUUUUUGACUAAAUACCGAUGUUCUACCAUCUUGCAUUUACUUUGUUUGUAGUGUACCUGGGCAAAUACUGAAGCUUAGAUCGUCAAAUAGCUUAAUUUUCAUAUGCAGUUUCUUUAAAUCAACAUUUGCAAGAUCCUUUUAUUUCUCUUUCUGUUAGGGAACUUAGCUCAGAGGGUGGCAUCUUUAAAGCAGGAAAAGUUCAUUUGGAGGAAUGCACUCUCUCUCCACUUACUUCCUGCUGCCCCUUGAGUUUGGACAGAGAGUGGACAAGUAGAUGGCUACAUGUCUGUCUAUAUCUUGCUUUCCACCCAUUCAUAUAAUUAAUCUUUAACCAGUCUGAACCAAAGGGUUUGAUAUAAUGGAGAAGUGGCUCAUAAAACUUUCACACUGAAGGUGAAAUUUACUAAGACUUCAGUAAUAUAACAUCUAUUGAAGGGGACAUGCUAUACAUUCCUCAGAAAGAAGCAGAAUCAUUGCGGUGGAGAGCUGUUCCUUCCAUUCUUGAAAAUUUAGCCGAGUAGCAUGAAAUGGUGUCCCUGAAGGCGAGUGGUUAUUGGGUUAAUUAAUAAAUGUUUUGACCUUUUUUUUUGACUUUGCUAGCUGUUUAUCUGCUUCACCAAUUGGAGAAGCAUAAUUGUAGCACACGUCUUCUCUGAUGUUUGGAUCAAAAAGAAAAAUCUACAACUUUACCGGAAGGGUUAUGGCAUGCUUGUUUUUAUUAGUUGUGUCCAUCAGUUAGAAAAGUAAGCUCUGGAUAUUUCCUAUAGCUAUCGUAUCAUCAAUGUUCUCUAUGAUUAUAGAUUACUUUCUAAUCAAUCAUUAGUCUGUAUAUACACUGCCCCAUAGUUGUCACUGUGGGACCCUAGCCUGGUGCUCCUUGGGAGGGAACUGGAUGGCUGUUAUCAGUGCUCACUUGGAUCAGAUUUUUUUCAGUGAUUGCAAGAUGCAAAGGAUUACAUUGACCUGCAUUGUCCAUGGUUUUUGCUAGUUUCCGAUUCAUUUUUGGGUGGCUAGUACAGGUCUUGACCUGAUCAUGGCCAUGCUAAUUGUUUAGCUGCUUUGCUUGUCAUUUAAAUAAUCCUUCCUCUACUAUCUUAUGCAGAAAAGACUAAAAAAUAUAUGUUAUUAUUCUUUAUGUUGCAUGUAACAGUUGGAGAAGCACCGAGGACUUCCAAAAGGCCAUCUCAUCAUUGAAGGAACUCAACCAAACUUUACAGUCUAUCAGUUAUUUCUGGUCGUUCAUUGGCGUGUUUAUAUAUUGUCAUGUGAUUGUCGCAACGAGUGGCUGCUAUUGGAAGUUUUCCCAUAAUUAGAUGCUUUACUUUCCCUUGAAGGUAGCUGCAGAUUAUGACCUGCUUGUGAUGUAUCAUUUGUUUACUCGGCUUUCUGUUGUGAGUAAGAGGGAGACAGGUUGGGCAAGAAACUUCCCUGUUCUUCCACUUUUUUGGAUUAGCAGCUCAGCACUAACACAGCCUCUCUAUUUUAAUCCCAGCAAACAGAGUCUUGCUAANNNNNNNNNNGCACGUCUUUUAAAAAUUCUAUCGUUUUCAUUGAGGGCUACUUUGUUUGGAUGGAACAAGAAAGUAUACGUGGUGAGGUGCACUAUGGUAUAAACAGAGGUCACAUGCAAUCAUCAUAUAGCCUGCCCUAAAAGUUGUAGGUGUGUGAUUUUUGAAACAUUGAACACUUUUCGACCGUACAUUAUAAUUGCUGGUUUUGUUAAUUUUAUAUUGCUGCAUUAUCACCACAUUCUCAUCCAUAUGAUAGUGAUUUCUGUAGUGGGCUCAUAUAACAAUCUGCAACUCAAACUAAGUCCCAGUUCCUGAUUCUUCUUUGUACUUGUAUCCACAAUAUCUGAACCAAUUUAGUGUUUGUUUAUCUUUGCUCUGUGAGACAUCAUGUCCUGAUAUAAAUGUUGCAGAUUCAAGAGGGGCGAACUACUACAACAAAUUGUCCUAUGAUUCGAGGUAGUUGUUAAGAACUUCUAUUGUUACGUAUGCCAGGCUAUGGAGACAGUUGUAGUUCAAAGUUUUGUGACUGCAUCUUUUUUUUAGUAGAUGGUGGUUUCAAAAUUUCAAUAUCAAGAAAACUUGGCAAGUUGCUUUUUCGGACACCAUAGUCUUUUAUGACCUUAGAACAAGGGAAAAAUUAAACCAUUUUCUUGUAACACCUGAUAUUACUAGUGAAUAUGGACUGGACAUUAAGAAAUUUGCAAUUUGGUCUCCCAUUGUCGAGUCAAAUGUCUCAACCUGUUUCCCCGGCAUUUUCCAAGGCUCUAUUUUCUCGCUAAUAAAGUCAAAGAAAAAUGAAGCAAAACAAUAGGAUAAAAGAGGGGGAAAAAUAAAAUCAAAAUUCUAUUUUGUUUGAUUGAAUUUAACGGAGUAUUCUAAUGUAAACAAUUGGAUAAACAGUGGUUCAGACAAGAGUGAGUUGUUUUUGUUUAACUAAAGCAAUGAAACGCGUCUAGGUUUUAAAGUUUACAGGUUUAUGUAACUCUCAUAGCAUACACAUGAUAGCUUGGUGGCAACUUUUUUAUCAUGUUCUGCAAAGAAAAAAAUAUAUACAUGUUAGUUGAAUAUUAUGUACUCAUCUAGUUCGUAGAAAGAAUUUAUCUUUACUAAAAUAUUUUUUCAGAGAAGCACGAGCAAAUAGUUUUUACGUGUUUGAUUGAUACGAGAAAGUAGCACAUUAUAGAAUGGCUUAUAUUUAGUUGAGCAUCUAUUUUUUAAUAUAUAUAUAUAUAAUAUCUAUUAUAUUUUUAAUAAAAAAAUUAGCUUUCCUAUCCAAAAGCUCAACAAUAUUUUUGAAAAAAAAAUAAUUCUAACUCUUUAGACUAUUUUGUGUCUCAUAUAUUUUUAUGUAAAAUAUAAAAAUUUUAUUUCUAUAAAAAAUUAUUUUAUUAUUUUUUUAAAAAAAUAAUUAGUAUUUUUUUAUUUUCUUGCUGACCAUAUUUUUCUUUCUGCCCCUACAUUUAUUCUUUUUUUGACGUCCCAUCUCCCGGACAACCUAACCAUUGAUGUGUGAUAUGACAGACUAGUAGUGGCUUCUAAACCCAGGUUUAUUUCCUCAAAGUACUCAUUCCACUUGAUUGCCAUCUGAGACUUUUGGUGGUGGCCAGGGUGUCGCCUAAGAUGGAGGCAACCAAAGCCCGGAACGGUGUUGCCCAUUUCCAUGCCUUCAGCCAAAGUAACAGUUCCUACGAAUGGGCACGCCCAAAUGCCAUCUCCAACUCCGAGAUUCAACUUUAAACCUAAGUCCUAAUACUAGGUUGUGCCCGGCUGCGGCCAUCCUUAUCCAACACAAACAGGAGAAAGGCAUCCCAAGAUUGUGACAGCUCCAAGUCUUCUUCUCUUCUCUUGUCUGUUGCCACGCUUUGAUCCCGUGAUGAUCCAAAUGGAGCCCUCACCUCGUAGGCGGCUCCGGAAUUUGGGGUGCCCUUGUUUCCACGUCCCUCGAUCCCAUAAAAAGCUGGAACCUUUCCCUCUUCCGUUAUGCAUGCGACAACCUUUGAAGCGACACCUUAUAAGUCUUUUAUAGAAAUUUUCCUAUAAUGAGGCAUCCACUUUCCUCGAAUACUGUAUUUGGGGAUUGCCACCUAGAGGUCAGAUUGCGUGCAUGCAUGCAUGCACCAUGCAUUUCACCCCCGGUACAAGUUCACGGGUACAAAAAGGGUUUAUUUAUUAUUUUUUUUGCCACAUCACAAGUCCACAAUUUGUAAGAAUUUAAUUAAGAUGGAAGCACUCCAAAUAAAAAUAUAAAAUAAUAAAAAGAAACAAAAGACUUUUUUUUGUCACGAAAGAAAGUCUGAUCCAUGACUAGAGUUUUUUGUUAGGCCUCCAGCAGAUUUUUGUAUUUAUACAGGGACAAAAUAUGUAAUUAUUAUAUUUUAUUAUGUGUAUUUUGGUCAAAAAAAAGCUUUUCGGAAAGCUCCAAAGUGGAGUUUCUUCCCAAAAGUUGUUUUUAACUUUCUGAAAAAGCUAAAACAACUUUCUGAAAUUUUUACCAAACAUCCUUUUUUUUCCAGAAAUGCUUUUUGCCUCGCCUCUGAGCAUGGGCAAUUUUAAGCUUAUGGCGCACAUAAACUCAUGAUCACUGGUUUUGCAGCUAUUUAACAAUCAAGACACAUUGACUAAAUAUUGAAUUGUUGAUCCUUUAUUUUCAGUCCAUGAUCUGUGUCCCGAGAACAAGAAUAAAUGUGGGCAAGCGUGUAAAAUAAGCACAUUUGCAUAACAAAUAAGGCGGAAGCAUAUGCAAAAUUGAAUCAAAGAUGAAAAUGAAACAUUGCUAUAUUCUCAUCCUUUAUUGGCUAUAGAAUGAGAUGUUGAAAAUUGACAUCCACAAUUUUUUGGAGUAAAAACUAACAUCCACAUUAUGACAUGCAUUUGCUUUCUAAUUGUAGGUUUACAUUAUCACUUUCCAAUGAUUUACAACAGUCCUUCAACAAACUGCUUUUGCUCAUUAGUUACUGCAGUAACCUGCAUAGGCAUAUGGAUUAUAUAUGAGUGUAAUUGAGCCGAGCCGAGUUGAAUAGUUAGAGGCUCCAGCUCGACUUCAUUCAAAAGGCUCAGGCUCAAAACUCAACUCGAGAUCAAUCAAAUUUUAAUAUCCAAGCUCGAAGUCGACUUGAUCAAAAAAAUAAUAUUCGAGAUCAGCUUGACUCGACUCAACCAAAACAAAAGUAAUACUUGAGAUCAUCUUGACUCGACUUGAAUAUCAACCAAACUAUACUCAAGCUUGAGUUUGAGCCUUAAUCAUAAUUAAAAAAUAUAUUUAAACAUAAUAUAAUAUAAUAUAAUAUUUUAAAAUAUUAAAUUAAUAAUAUAUAUAUAUUAUAAAAUAUAAUAUUAUAUAUAUGAGGAUUGAUAACCUACUCUCUAUUAUGGUAGGUUAUCAAUCUACCCAUUUUUCAUUGGACAAAAAUACCCUUACUUUUUAUAACUCUUAAGGAUAUUUUAUGUCUUUUUACAAUCCCACAUUUAACUCACCCUCUCAACCUCCCAAUUAAUACUUUCUUCCUCUCUCUCUCCUAUAUACAUACAUACAUGCAUGCAUACAUACAUACAUAUACAUACAUACAUACAUACAUACAUACAUACAUACAUANNNNNNNNNNNNNNNNNNNNUGCUGGCACACACCACAUUCUAUUGUUUCAGACCCCGAGGCUGGAACUUGAACCUGCAAAACAACUUGUAUCAUAUAAUUCGGGCCAAACAGCAUGCGGAAACAGUGCGCAAAAUAAUCAAGAGAAUAAGAGAAGGGGAAGAGAAAGGGGCGGGGACCUAGCGCCCUAGGUGCCUGACCUGAAGAUGGACUGUGCAGGUGGGACAUGCAACUUCCCUCAUCUGCCUUGCAGAACCAUCAGAGGACUUCGAACCUACAAAAUAACUAACUGUUAAAUUUGGUGCAAAAUGUACAAUAUGAACCAUCAGAGGACUUCCAAUAUCUCAUGCAUACGGGCAAACAACAUGUCAUCAUACCAUUAAUCAGGGAAUUUUAUAGAUAAAUACAGUCACACAUAGCAAGAAAAAGGUCUCUAUUAGGACACGUUAGCCACUUACAUUCAGAAGGGAAGAAUCGGGCAUUGGCCAUUUCGCAGGUGGGUCCUCGUCCGGAGGCUCGAGUGGGUGAUCUACCGGCUUGAACCCUGCAUNNNNNNNNNNNNNNNNNNNNNNNNNNNNNNNNNNNNNNNNNNNNNNNNNNNNNNNNNNNNNNNNNNNNNNNNNNNNNNNNNNNNNNNNNNNNNNNNNNNNNNNNNNNNNNNNNNNNNNNNNNNNNNNNNNNNNNNNNNNNNNNNNNNNNNNNNNNNNNNNNNNNNNNNNNNNNNNNNNNNNNNNNNNNNNNNNNNNNNNNNNNNNNNNNNNNNNNNNNNNNNNNNNNNNNNNNNNNNNNNNNNNNNNNNNNNNNNNNNNNNNNNNNNNNNNNNNNNNNNNNNNNNNNNNNNNNNNNNNNNNNNNNNNNNNNNNNNNNNNNNNNNNNNNNNNNNNNNNNNNNNNNNNNNNNNNNNNNNNNNNNNNNNNNNNNNNNNNNNNNNNNNNNNNNNNNNNNNNNNNNNNNNNNNNNNNNNNNNNNNNNNNNNNNNNNNNNNNNNNNNNNNNNNNNNNNNNNNNNNNNNNNNNNNNNNNNNNNNNNNNNNNNNNNNNNNNNNNNNNNNNNNNNNNNNNNNNNNNNNNNNNNNNNNNNNNNNNNNNNNNNNNNNNNNNNNNNNNNNNNNNNNNNNNNNNNNNNNNNNNNNNNNNNNNNNNNNNNNNNNNNNNNNNNNNNNNNNNNNNNNNNNNNNNNNNNNNNNNNNNNNNNNNNNNNNNNNNNNNNNNNNNNNNNNNNNNNNNNNNNNNNNNNNNNNNNNNNNNNNNNNNNNNNNNNNNNNNNNNNNNNNNNNNNNNNNNNNNNNNNNNNNNNNNNNNNNNNNNNNNNNNNNNNNNNNNNNNNNNNNNNNNNNNNNNNNNNNNNNNNNNNNNNNNNNNNNNNNNNNNNNAUAUAUAUAUAUAUUCGAUUAAGUUUGUGAGUUUUUAACUCGAAUAUUUUGCGAUUCGAGCCCGCUAAUAAUUGGAUGGAGUCGAGUUUGGGACUGCAUGGCUCAUUUGCAUUUCAUGCGGGUUUAAUUAGGAUAGCGGAUUUUGAUUAGAGCAGUACGUGCGGGGCCUGAAAUGACUGGUGGUAAAUUUAUUGUGCCCGAUGAACCAACUGACACCCACAUUUAUAUUUAAAUUUCCAUGGAUCUAUUCUGCAUCGGGUCAAGUGACAGUGCUACCCUAUCGAGGGGGGUCUUCGUUCAGUGGGCUGCAGCUUAUGUACAGAGAUGGUAUAGAUGAUUUUAUUACUAGAGCUCGCAAAUCCCUAUAAGAAUCGCCCGUUGCAAGGCAAAGGUCUUGGAAGGUGAGUGACGAGAGAAAAAGAUUUUUGAAGCUGUACCAACGCUUGGCCGCCUGCAAAACCAUAAGUUUAGGUCAAAAUAUGGGGUUCUUCAGGUCGAGGGUAUCUUUUGACUGUGUGCAUUUGGCGUAAUUUGUUUUCUAACCCCUCAAAAUACCUUCCUGAACUACGUGCCCUUCUCUUAGGACCCCUUUUUUUUAUCAGCCAAAUAAGAGCACGACUGCCAAGAACACUUAAACUACUGCUGGAUUCUCCUACGGUCCAUGGCUAAGAAGUCCCAAACCAGUUCUGCUGCUUUGAGGAAAGCGUCCCACUCCAUUUAACUCAGCUCAAGCUGUCCGAGGUUUGAGACUCGAGAGAAGACAAGGUGGUGCAAGUUGUACUAAGAUGCCAAAGUCUUAAGAUCCCUUGUGCUACGAUCAACUGAAAUGGUUCGUGCAUGCAUGCAACCCAUGGACCUAUAUAUCUUGUGGAGACCGAGAUGCUUCAUUUUCUCCUGUUCUUACACUUGUUCAUAGACCCCAUGCAUCCUACUUCCAAUCAUCCAUCUCUUUCAGCCCCCGUGUGAAUGAGAAGACGCGCAGAUAUACAGGUUUGGAGUCCGAGGUGGUUGUGUUGAAGUUGAAAACUGCUCAUUUAAGUACUCUAGAUCAAGUUCAGCAGUGUAGUCACCUGGCCUCUAUGAUCACUCCCUAUAGGCAUAGCAUGGCGUAACCUUUUCUUUUUUCCCCACUAGACUGGAGACCACAAUCUAAAAUAUGACUAGGUGAUACGGCUAGUUGGUCACAUGUUAAGGUUACAGAUGUCACCGGAUGCAUGUUCAAUGAACCUUGCAUACUUGCUUGUCGUUCUUGUAAAUGCGUGCAAGCAAAUGACAGAGUCUACUCUUGUCUUUCCUGGAGAUGCUGCGGCUAUUUCAUAGUAAUUUUCUCGAACAACUUGGAAUUAUCAUACCAUUAAGGAUUCUAUCACGUACCUAUCAUACAAUUAUGGCGUGUUGCACAUCCAACUUUUAAGAAUAACAAGUUGAUGGUGCACAACAAUAUAUACUUCUGGCGUUUUAAUGUCCUCUCAAAUCAUUAGGACUUAAGACUAUUAUCAUGCAAGCAAGAUUAAAUGCCUUUCUGCAUGCAGGCGCUCCUCUAAGACUAAGCAUGACCAUCAACUUUUGGAGUUGAGUUAUCCUUGUAGAAUAAAGUUUGGAGGAUGUAUAGGAUAUAAUUUCAUGUUUAUAGGAGCUUGCAAAGGGACCAACAAAUACUGAUCAGAAGUUAUGGAAUCCACUAAUUAUGGAUUGCUUGGUUGCCCACUUGGCAAUACAAUGGGCCUCAACAAAGUAGUGUCUCUGGACUACAAGUGGGUAUUAUGUUUUUAAACUUGAUGAUGUUUGAGUUUAGUCCACUAGAUUUUAUUUUAAAGUAUGGACCAGAAAAAAAUGUUGAUAAUUUAAUUUCGAUCUUACGCAACACGACAAAUACGUUUAGGAAUCUACACAAUUUUUUAACAAUAAUGAUCAACUCUACUUAAUUUGUAUACUCAUUUGCAAUCUAUCACAUGCAUUGCAACACCAUAUACGUUUCUUACAUGGUGCAAACUCCUUGGAUUUUUAACACAACCGUUCCCUCCAUUGUAUACUCUCCAUGCAACUACAUAAUCUCACUACAAAACUAAUUAAGAACCUCAGCCACCUGCCCCUACUAAGUAGGGUAGGCGAGCUCAUUUCUAAUAUUAUAUUUCUGUCCUAUAUUUGAUACAACGCUAUCCUAUAACUAAAGAUUUUCGGUGCCAAAUUGCUGGUACGACGAUUGCGUUUAAUUCUUUUUUUUAUUUUUCUUUUGUCUUUGGCUGAGCCACAUGUGAUGCAUGCAUAGUCUGAUGGGUAGUCAAGUGGUCCAACUCUCGGCCCGGCCCUUUAGAUGUCGGGCCCACUCUCAGUGACUUGGACAUGACCAUUGACCGAUGACUUGGACCACAACCUUAAUAAACGUCACCAGAAACGAUUAGAUUUUCUUUUUUUUUCUUCUUCUUCUUAAAGAACGAUUGAAGGUUAAAGAAUGGCUUCUAAUUAAACAUCUUUUCUUCCAAGUGGCUUUAGUUGUCUUCUAAAAGAAGAAAUUAUUAAAUGGAUCCACCAUAGAACUAGGGUGAAAUGAAUCUACAUAAUAAUUUCAUCCAAGAAUGAAAUCAAUUUACUAGGAUGCUCGGUUCAUGUUGGACGUGCACUAUUUAAUUAAUAAUUUCAACUUCUUCUUUUCGGAAAGGGAGGAUUAGGAAAAUCCUAUUGAUUGCUGCUUUAUCCAGACCUCCGGGAAAAGCAUGAAAAAGAAAAGACACUUUUAGGGAUAUAGAUGGAGUCUGCGAUGCUGCUAAGCUUCUCACCCUUGGAAGAAUUUUUUUCUUCCCGUAACCGACUUGACUUUCUGCCCAAGGAAGAAAGAAUUUCGUUGCCUUUAAUCUAUCUUGAGCUCGAGUAAAUAGCUCUACGAACGAAUGGAUCAGAUCGAAAAUGGAAAGAUUUGUACAAGUUAACUUCAUUAUUUGAGUGAAAGGGGGUUAUAGGGGAAAGAGGAUUUUCUUUUUGAUGGAAGUCAGUUUGGCACUACAAGAAAAUUCAUCUUUCCCGACGCUUUUUAGAAUCUUUACCGACGCUUAUAAGCGUCGGCUAAAGUUCCUGAAACAGAAGCGUCGCAAAAGCGUCGGCGAUACCGGAGUGGCAAAAGUUUUUGCCGACGCUAUGAGAAAGUGUCGGCCAAAACAGAGAUUUCCCGACGCUAAUAAAAGCGUCGGCAAAAACCACAUUCCCCGACGCUUUAAAGCGUCAGAAAAGGCCAAAGGAUGCCCAGUAAACCUUGCUUUUUUCUAUCUAUUUACCAACGCUUUAAAGCGUCGGGAUUGCUAAUUUUUUUAAAAAAAUAAAAAUACGAAUGUAAAUUAUAAUAUGAACCUGCAUGCACAUGCAAAUCAUUUCUAAUUAUAAUAUGAACCCACUUAACACACUUGACGAUCCCAAAUAUGCCUGCUCAAAGAAGAUUCAUAUACAAAGAACCACCAAGUCUAAUGAGUAAAACAUGACCAUAUUAAUGAAUAUACAAAGCCGGUAACCGAGCCUAUUAGCUGUGACACAGAAAAUUUCCUGAAGCUCAGUCGGAUGCAUUACCACGAUGUGAUAAAAUCAGAAGACAUCAAUGAGCACCAACCAGGAAUGGGCGCUGGCACACACCACAUUCUAUUGUUUUAGACCCCGAGGCUGGAACUUGAACCUGCAAAACAACUUGUAUCAUAUAAUUCGGGCCAAACAGCAUGCGGAAACAGUGCGCAAAAUAAUCAAGAGAAUGAGAGAAGGGGAAGAGAAAGGGGCGGGGAACCUAGCGCCCUAGGUGCCUGACCUGAAGAUGGACUGUGNNNNNNNNNNNNNNNNNNNNNNNNNNNNNNNNNNNNNNNNNNNNNNNNNNNNNNNNNNNNNNNNNNNNNNNNNNNNNNNNNNNNNNNNNNNNNNNNNNNNNNNNNNNNNNNNNNNNNNNNNNNNNNNNNNNNNNNNNNGGGCAAACAACAUGUCAUCAUACCAUAAAUCAGGGAAUUUUAUAGAUAAAUACAGUCACACAUAGCAAGAAAAAGGUCUCUAUUAGGACACGUUAGCCACUUACAUUCAGAAGGGAAGAAUCGGGCAUUGGCCAUUUCGCAGGUGGGUCCUCGUCCGGAGGCUCGAGUGGGUGAUCUACCGGCUUGAACCCUGCAUGGAUCUCCACCACCACAUCGUCUUCUUCCCUCCCAGCAUCACCAUGGACAUCGAUUUCAUUGGUCCCGGCUUCCUCUGCAACCUGCCCUUCCUUCUUGUCCUGAAACUCACAACAAACCCAAAGCAGACUAAGAAAACCCAUUUCUAUCACUACAAAUUCACUAGGAAAAACAUCAAAUGACAAGAUAAUAGAAGUCAACAACCCCAAAAGGGAUCUCUUACUAAACCAUCCUCACACGGAUGCCCCAUCUACACAAGCUACCAGCUUCAUCAAAGCUCAAAGAAGUGAGAAGGGAAAGCACCAUUUCUGUGCAGAGAACUGAUCAGAACAUUGGAGCUCUACAUCUGCACCAUUUCUGUGCUUAUUAACUUGUGAGAUUUGUUCUUUAACCAAACAAGCAAAAAUUAGGAAGAGCAAAAAUUACUUACCAAAAGUGCAGGUGUGGGAGCAGUUUCAGGUUCAAAUGUGGUACAGAAGAAAAUGAUACCUCCAGCAAUUCCACGGAGCUUGAAGAUUCGACGGUAGAGGGGCAACUGUCCACCCUCGAAGCCCUUAUGGACGUCGGGCCUUCUCCUGACUGGCGGCGGAGAGCUGCAGAAGGCAGAGGAUGGCUGGGGUGCGGGCGGCGGCGAGGGCGCGGAGGCAGGGGAGGGCCUCGAUGAUGCCGCCAGAGCCGUGCUCCAUGUCGACGACCACGUAGUCGUAGCCGGCGAGGCCGGCGAUCUCGGCGAGGGUCGGGGNNNNNNNNNNNNNNNNNNNNNNNNNNNNNNNNNNNNNNNNNNNNNNNNNNNNNNNNNNNNNNNNNNNNNNNNNNNNNNNNNNNNNNNNNNNNNNNNNNNNNNNNNNNNNNNNNNNNNNNNNNNNNACAUCAUCGCCGGAGCCGUUCUGCUUCUUGAAUCCGGAGGGGGUUAGGGAGGGGGGCGAUGAUGAUGAGAAGGCACCUUUGAUGGGUUAGAGAGAGAGAGAAGGCGAGGAAUGGGCGAGAGAGAUGUGGGUAAUACUACUAGUUAAAUAGAGAGAGGAGGGUGGUGGCCGGGAAAACGGAAACCCGGAGAGAGGAGGGAGGAGGGAUGAGAGAGAUGAGGCUUGAAGGUAGAGAGUGAGAGACUGGUGUGUGAGGGUGGCUUCCGACGGGGAUGGUCAGAAGAGGGUUGGGAUGUAGCCUGGUGCAUUGGCUUCCGACGACGCUUUUUUAGCGUCGUCUUAGGUCCGAGACUGCACCGACGCUUAUUAGCGUCGUCUUUUGCCGACGCUUUUUACAAGCGUCGGCAAAUUUUGACAAUAGACCGAAAAUUGCCCACGCUUGUAAAAAGCGUCGGUAAAACCGACUUUUCCUGUAGUGUAAGAAUUUCUUUUGUUAGAAAAAGUAGCGAAAUCACCCUAUCAAAUGCUUUAACACAGAACGGCAUAAAUUCGAAAAACAGACUUAUUCAGUCAAUUCCAUUACAUCAAAUUGAUAGAAUAGAAUUAUCUUAUAGAAUGAAGGAAAGUUAUCCCUUCCAAUUACGAUUUUAUCUCUAAUCAAUUUUUCAAAUACACCAAAAAAUGAAAGAGUGAUUUUAUUCUUGUCAUAAAAUCGAAAUCAUAUUGAAAACCGACGUGCUCUAUGACUCACUACUUAUCUCUCUAAUCAACCAUCAAAAAAGAAACUUAUUCUCCAGAUCAUAAACUACCCCUCCAACGGAAGAGGGGAUAACGCUCCAAAAAUUAUCCCUUCUACUAAAUCCAGCCUAUCCCACAUGCAUGCAGACCAUACGUACCGAAGAGCCACUUCAUGAGCCAAUUAUGUCCGAAGGUAUCUAAACAUGCUCGAUGAAAGGAAGACGCCUUCUCUUAAUGUUGUUAUGCUUGCAUGAUGGUGAGUUAUUCCACCAACAUAUCCGGGUGGUCAGUAAUCAGCAAGGGAUUUGUUUUGUGAUUUUGUUUUAACUAAUUCUAAGUUAGUGCAGCUCACCUGUUUUAUUCAUUUAAGACUAACGGGCAUUGUAUUUUUUUAAACAAAAAGAUCAAUAAUAACUUUUCUAAGUUGACCUAAUAAUUAUAAUAUUCAUUCUAAUUUAUAUACUAUUAAUCGUCUAGCAAAAACAUUUCAUUCAUUUUCUUAAUUAUUUGAUUGCUAGAGAGAGAGGAAGAAAUAAUCACUCAACCUCACGUGAAUUACCAAAGGAGCAGUCAUUUGCUAGCUCCUUUAACAUUUGAAUUACCAAAGUGGAAAUAAAUAUCUCUCUUGCAGCUGAAUUCGUCAAAUGUUGGCCCCUUUCAUCGAGCAUUCGCAAAAUAAUCAGAAGAAGCUUAUCUUCAAUUUUAUGAUCUCAAGUGAUUAUAUGUAUAUACACACAAAGAAUAUGAUCAAGUCUGCAUGAGGAAGAGAAUGGUCUUUUAUAUGAAAAGGCAACUACUCUCGGCCCCAGGAGUUUGAUUUUGACCGAAUCCUAUGAAUCACUUGCGCAAAGUUAUACAUUAUCAGCCAUCCAAACCUUAAUUUGUCUUUGCCUCAAGCACCCCUCGAGAAAGACUCUCAGCUACUUACGAACUUAGACACCAGCUCUCAGAUUAGAGAAGUAGAAAUGAGAUUGGCAAACUUCCACAAAGAUCUAACUCAAAAGUGCUUAAAUUUUUCUACUUCACUGCAUAUAUACAUAGGGACUCGAUGCCUUCUCCGUCGAUAUGUCAUUCUAUGUUUUAUGCGGCGAAUCAUACGGGGUGUGGACUGCUGAUAUUCCUUCUGAUUUGUUAAAUAUUUUAUUUUCAGAUUCCCAUGGAUAUAUUUAUAAUAUAUUGGUAUAAUAAAUCCGACUUUUACAAAGAAAAAGGGCCGCGCGUCUUCUAAUAUUUUACAUCAAGGUUCUACAUGAGGCAUUCAUUUUAAGUUCCAAAAAAUGUCCAGGGAGUAUCUGGACGUCCUAGUGAUCUCUGGUUCUCCUUCCAUUUCGAGAAGCAUAUAUGCGUCCUCGAUCAGCCUUUCUUCUUGUCGAUUUCUAAUGUGAAAUAUUUGCUAGCCUUUUGGGAAAGCCUGCUGCUGCCCAAGCAUGACAGUCUCUAGAGGUUAGAUUGCUGCCACACAUACAAAAGAUCCCAUUAACUUCAUGGGGUGCUUAUCUAAAUGUUCCAAGAUCCAAUGGACAAAGCUGAAUUGGGUUUGUGAAACUGAAGAUAUACUGCUGCAUCUCGAUCCAUCAUCUAACUCUCCCUGCUAAAUGUCAUCAAUGAAAGCUUGGUGAAUUUAGUAGGUCCUAAUGGGUGAAUAUAUGGAGGCUCGAUGGUGGCAUGCAUGCAUGUUGAGCUUUCACCCGGCUUAAUCAUUUGCCGUUGAGGCAGUGCAAGGUUGGCUUGAGCUGUACCGUUGCACCAGUGGCUUCAGCUAGCUGCCAUAUAUAUAUAUAAAUCAGCUUACAGAUAGAAAUUUAUACAUUUUGUAAUGAACAGUAGAAAGUCAUGCGCCUCUAGAGAUGGGAAGGACCCUACUUCUUUCAACUUUAAAUGUGGAGAGCCAUUGUCUUUUGUUUCCAUGAAAUAAAAUAGUCGCGUUUUGGUAUGUGGUGGACAAGGAUGCAUGCAGCUUCUUUUUCCCCACCAAUAAAGGCAGGAGGACUCCCACCAAAAAAAUUAAAUUAAAAAGAAAAAAAAGAGAGAGUGGCCCUAGUUUUGAGCCCAUAUUUAUUUUGUUAGCAAGGGAAAUACGUGAUUAGAUCUGCCCACAUCUUCAAACUUCUUUUCCACUUCCACUUCCACUUCCCCUUCUAUUAUGACUACUUUUCUGUGCAUCUUAAUUCCCAAAGCAGCUGCUUUAUGAACUCUAGUUAUUGGAGGGAGAUCGAUCUUAUUUCAGGUAGAUCAGGUUACCUGGACAGUGCACUGUUUUUAAGCAUUUACAGGUUUAAUCAUAGUACUUUGUUAUCAACCGAUUGAAUUGUUCUGUGCCAAGUUGGUGGGCUAUGCAAGAAAGGAACCUAAUAUAAGUACGCUAAUCAUUUGUGACAAUCUAGUGAUAAAGUAACCAUGGGUAUGGAUUGAGCUCCACAGGUAGUGAAAAUAAGAACUAAAUCUAGGAAUCCUUUGGUUGUUUGCAAUUGCAGUUGGCUAUAAAUGAAUUGCAGACACCUAAAACGAGUGUUUGGAUGCCUGUAAUUAUAACUGAAGGUUGCAUUUCAACUGCAAAAAACAGCCUCAAAAUUAAUUUGUACUUGGAACUGCAACCAAAAUUUGUUGUAGUUCCAACUACAAAGAAUCUUAUAGCUAGAAUGCGGAUCUCUGAUUACCAGUCCAACUGAUGAUGCACUUGUAAUUGAAGUAAUAUUUGUAUAAUAUCAUUGCUAAAUUAAUAUUAUAAUAUUAUACCAUUAUUAUUAAAAUAGUAAUAAUUAAUAUAAUAAUAUUAUUGUAUUAAAUAGUACUAUAAUAAUAUUAUAUAAUUAGUAUCAGAUUGUUAUAAUAGCAAUAUCAUAUUAAUAGUAGUACUAUUAUAUUAUACUAUUAUUUAUUAUAAUAAUAUUUAGUUUUAUAUUAUGAUAUUAUUAUAUUGUAAUAUUGCAAUAUAUUCGUUUUAUGUUAUAAUAUAUUAUUAUUAUAUAUCUUAUCAUAUUAUUAUUUUUUUUAUUAUUUCUGAAAUAUAAUAUUAUUAUAACAAGAAUACACUAUUAGUACAAUAGUAGCAAAAUAUAUUAUAUUUAUAUUAUUUGAAUAUUAUAAUAAUAAUAUUCAUACUGUAAUAUUAAAAUAUAUUAUAAUGUUAUUACAGUAAUAAUAUGAUAAGUAAUAUGUCCAGUAUUAUAGUUAUUCUUAUACUAAUCAAUGAUAAUCCGGUAGUAAUAUACCUUUUUAUUAUAAUUAUAAAAAUAAUAUAAUAAAUAUUGUACUAUAAAAGAAAGAGCAGUUCACUGUUUCUCAGCUCAAUUUCAGAAAAAUCAUAUCUCUUUUCACAUCAAUCAAUGAAAUACUUGCAAUUUGCAGUUUUUAAUUAUAGACAACUAAACAAAAACUCCUUCCUACGAUUUUGAUUCCAAAUACGAGUAACAUCAAAAUUAAGUUUAUAAUACCAUCAUCCUAUUGAUCUAAGUUUAUUACUUAUUUAAAUGAAAGUUAUUUUUCUUCACACUGGGGUCACAAGCUGUCCAAAAAAUUAAGCUUCUUAGUUCCUCCGCUCGAGCAACAUAUGUCAAUGACUGUUCAUUCUAUUAAUGUCAUUUUUCACAUAACUUACAACAUUUCAAGAGGUAAAUUUAACCACAUCAUCCAGAAUUCUCGAAGCUAUCUAAACAUCAGCUCAUAAAAUCAUGAUCUAAUUGAGAAGCAGCAGCUAGCCAAGCCUCUUCUAAAUUGUUAUCUCGUGGACAUUGCCUCUAAUCACCAAAUAGAUCACAUGGCUCAAUGAAUUCAUGUUAAAUAGUAAAUGCAGCAGAGGUGUACCCAAUUUAAGGAAAAGAAAAAACUAACAUGAAAUGAUGGACACACGUGGAUCAUCAUGAGUUAUUAAGUGAGAAAAACAGAAGACGGCAAUAAAGAACUCAUCAUGACAAAAAAAUUGCAGCUACCUGUUCCCAAUGUUUUCAUGCACACCCCAUUCUCUUCCAUGUUUCCAGCGGCAGCAAAUCUAGGCCGUCCAAAUUAAUUACCACCUUUUUCCCACAAAAUUAAUUAAAUAGCCGUCCAACAUAAAGCCCACUGGUGAGUCAGCAAGUGAUGUAGAGUUGAGAGCUUGGAAAGCAUCAUCUUUGUCAAAUUAGCUCUAGAGACUAAUUGUAUCCAUCUUGAAGAUGAUAGAGCUCUGAUGGUUGAUUGAAUUCAUGUUGACCGGCACAAGCAUGUAGAUAGACAUAAUUUUUUAGACUACUCAUAUUUAUUGGAAGACGAACAGUAUAGUCGUCUGAAUUGCAUUUUAUGCAAACUUUUUUUUGUUAAAUAAUAGAACGGGAGAGGGAGGGACCAGCCCAUCCGUGUAGCAGCCUCCACUGGGCCCCCCUUCCACUAGAAACUUUUGAUACAGAUUGCAGGUUUCGCGUGCCUUUUUUGACCCAUGGACUCAUCCCACUGGGCACACCGUCUCAGUGUGGGUACGUCACCCCAGCGCCAUCUUAGUACAAGUGGAAGGAAAGCAUAACCGUCAGCAAGCCAUCCGGACGUGGGGUAUCUGGUCCCCUAAUUUAAUCGACGCCUGCGCGUUUCGAAUCCGGACAACUUGGACGGAGUUAUCGCUCUCUUACCAUCUGACUAUCAUCUUGGUGGCAACUUUUGUUUUUUUUUUUUUUUUUUUUUUUGACUAGUGUGCUCAGCGUACAGGGUAAGUUGCAGCUGUAUUAAAAAGAAAAAUAACUCGAUCAGAAGGGCGUGAUUUGAUGCCAGGAUUCUCCAAAAAAAAAAAAUCCAAAAAAUAAUAAAUAAUAAAGAAAAGUCUUUUUAAGGAAACAACAUUGCGUGACGGCGGGAACGUCGCCAAUCCAAAAGCGCGGAGACGACGGAGGGAGAGAGGGCAAGGUAUUUUUAUUUAUUUUUUUUAAAGGAAAAAAAAAAAUUCUCGUCGCCGUUUCUCGUUGCCCAAACGCGUAAACUAUAAAACGAAAAAAAAAAAUUCAGAAGUCCUCCCGUUUUCUUGGCUCACACGGUUUCCUCCUUAACUGUUAAUCCGUUUUUACCUCCGAAUUUUAAAUUAUUUCCUCACAUGGUGGUCUCCUCGUCCCCAUUCUCAGAUACCCUCCUCCUCCCUUCUCGCCUCCUCCACUCUCGACAGCUCCGAAACCCCCCUUUUGCUAAAAAAAUAAAGGAAAUUUUCGCGCAUUUUUCCAACGGCAAUAUCUUUUUUUGCUUCCCUUAUCGGGUGCACGGGAACCGAAAUCUACGCUUCAGGUAUUUCAUAUAAAUAUGUAUCUUUUAAGGUCAUCUCGUUAACCGUUUUGCUGUGAAUUUUUUGUGAUCUUUCGAGUGGUUUUGCGACGGUUUCAAUUCAAUCGCUUUGCUUCUGUAGAAAUUUUAUCAGGUCUUCUGGAAUGGAAGAGUCGUUUACAAAAGGAGAAGGCUUUCUACAGAAGCCAUUCUGGUAGUGUUUGAUAUAGAAGGAUAGGAGGAAAUUGGGAUUGGUGUAAAGACAAAUGGUGUUGGGAUCUUACCUUGUAGUGGAGGAAAUGUGGGUCCUUUCAGAUGGUCCCUUGUUAGUUUGAAAUUUGUGCAAUUGUCAAUAGGUUCGUAGUUCUUAUUUGAUUUAUGAAUACGUUUGCUGUUCGAUCGCCGAUUGAAAAGCUUUAUGCCAUAAUGAUUAUGUCAUAACAACGCUCUAUCUAGUCCGUUCUAGCUUCAUGUAGCUGUUUGCAGCAUGGUGACCUCAACACUGUAGAACUGAAUUUUUCCUCGUAGGCAGAGUCUGGGUCAAGCAAAUGCUUCCAAAAAAACAAAAAAAAAAGUUUUGAUAAGAAUUUAUAUUUUUUAAAAUAGUUUCCUGUCGGUGCUCUCCACUGUGUUCCAAGGUAGAAGUGGAGCUAUAUAUUUGGUGGUGCAACCCAAUCUCUACUGCAUUUUCAUGUAUGGUUCUAAAGGUGCUCGGUUUAUUCUUUUCUGUUCCUCUGCACUUGGUCUACUGUGAUGGUAAUUGUCAUAGGAAUUGUUGUUAAUUUAGUAACAACAACUAACUCGCCUGAUUCUGAUUCUCUGCUUUCGUUGCUUUAAAUGCCGUUCGUUUCUCCCUUCUUCUUUUUCUGAUUCCGUGCUGUGUCGAGAACAAACUGAUAUCAAUUCCAAUAGUGUAUUCUGUAGGUUUUUGCCCUGUUUCUGUACAUUUUAAGAAGAGUCAAGACCGAGCUACAGCCUUCGCUGUAAGUCCACUUCUAACGCACCUGAAUUUUGCUGAAAACGAAUUUUUACUCUACUUUCAGUGGAAGUAGGUGAUGCAGAGGCCCAGAACUGUACUUCGAUGCUUCAAGCUAAGCUGUUAAAGCCAGAACCCGAUAUGACUGUGUAGUUGUGUUCUGCACUGCCUGUAAGAUGGGAGGUGAGUUCACUGAGGAAGCAGACAUGGAGGUCCUGCCUUCGAUGUGGCCUGAAGAUAUUGGGAGUGAAGCCAGAAAGCAGUUCAACAUGGAACAGCCGGGGGCGAAUCGGGACAUGCUGGAGGAUGUCACAAUCAAAGAAGAUCCCUCUGUUGUAGAUUUCAAACGCCUCUUAGAACUAACCAAUUACAGCGAGAAGGGUUCCUCUCAGCUGACGUACCUCGUAAAACACUGGGAGUACAGGCACACCAAUGCCGUUCGGCUUCUCAAUGAAGAGCUCAACAUCCUGAGCAAACAGAGGCAGGAAGUUGAACUCAAGAAGCUAGAGAUUCUUGAGGAGCAUCGUUUUGAGGAUGACAAGCAUGCUGGUUCCAAACGUCCGGUCUCUAUUCUGGAGGAAGCUUGUGACGUAUGGGGAAGGGUCCCAAGGAAGCGAAAUGAUGUCGCCGCUUAUAACAGAAAUCUCGACAUAGAUGCCGAGUAUGAUACUGCCAUGUACUGGAAGCAGCGGGCUUUGCAACUAGAAAAAAUGCUCCAGGAAACCAUUAAAAGAGAGGACGCUCUCAUGCAAAAGUUGCUGGAGAACAUUAAGAACCUCGAAACACAGUCAUCACCGGUGGAGGAAUUAUCUCAGAUCUUAAAAAGGGCUGAUAAUUUCUUGCACUUUAUUCUUCAGACUGCACCUGUAGUCAUUGGGCAUCAGGUAUUUGACUGAUUAUGCUCAAGUUCUGUUCCAAACUAUAUGUCUUCAAAACUUCGCUUCCAUAUAUUAGUCCAGCGCUAUGACCACAAAAGCAACUGGCUUGGUUUUCAGGAUUCCAGUUUGAUAGUAUACAGAAAUAUGCUGAAAUCUUCAAAAGUAUUUCUCUUAAAUGCAUAUAUUAAAUAUCAUGCUUAUGAAAAUGCGAGCCAUUCCCACCUUAGGGCAGUUGUCCUAACAGUACCUUUUGAUGGUAUGCGUUUGAAAAGAUAGUAGUUCUUAGUAAUAACCUUUUCAUGUUAUUUGGUUUCAGGACAAAGAGUUGCGGUAUCGAUUCAUCUACAAUCACUUUCCAAGGCUCGAAGAGGAGGUAUUUGCAUGCAUUCCUCCCAUAUAUAUAUGACAUAUUCCCGUACCAGGGGUCUUGCCUUUGCGUCUACUUGAGUUUUCAUCUGACAACUAGUGUGGUAUAUGAAAUUUUUGAAGAUUCAGGCUUUUAUAAAAGUGAAACGAAGAAGUGGUAAUGAAGGCUGUCAAUGAGCCUGCCAAACUGAAAUUCAUAUAUGGCAGCAGCCCAGCGAACUCUCAAUUCAUAAGUCUUUCAGAUUUUACAUGUCCAAGAUGCAUGUUAGCCACACAGAUUGCAUCUAUAUAAGGAAUUGUCUAUCAAAUAUUUUGUAAACAUCUAAAGGAAAUUCUAAAUUACUGAAGAGAUGGGAAGAUGUAGUAGUUAGAGGACACGGGGAAAAGGUGACGAAGAUGUACAUGGAAAAAAUCAAAAGGAAAAUAAAAAAAAAAGAUAAUGUGAUUUUUCAAUAAUCACAUCCCAACAAAAUGGUGUUUGUGAUAAUAAAUAGCAUUCAAGGAUUCUCUUCCUAAAAAAUUCUGGAAGGUUUAGUUCCUGAGAGCAUCAUGAAGUAUUCCUUGUCUCAGUUAGAAGAUCUGCACUUUGAAUGACAAACUUGAUAUUUUAAUCUUUCUACAACAUUUCUUUCUAGUGUUUUCUUCUAACUCAUUGACUAGCUGAAGAUCACAGACCCAUCAAGUGAUUCCCUUAUAGAGCACUCUAAUUGCCAUCUGCAUCAUUUAUCUUUAUAUCACUUCACUAAUCACUACCUUCAAGCCAAAAAGUUAGCUUUUGUAGGCAUCUUUCCAAAACUACACCGUGCUUUUUGGCAAGAAAGUAGCCUUGGCAAGCUUCUUUUCAGAAAAUAUAAUUUGCUUGGCAUAUGCUUUUGGUUUUAUGCAUUGCUGUAGCCUUCCCACUGAACUAUUGAUGAAAAAAGCUCUGACAUAUUUUUUUUCCCUUUUCAUUUGACAGACCUCAGAGUCUUAAAUCCAGUUAUGUGGAAGAAAUUUGAUUUUUCCAACCAUGAAAUUUUCAUGUAUUUAGAACAAUCAAAAUAUGCAAGUAAUAUUUCUCUUCUUUUUCGAAAAAUCAUACCUUUCAUUGCCUUGUUGACCACCUACGUCCAAAGCUUUGAUCUUUUGGUCAUGCUCUCUCUCUCUCUCUCUCUCUCUGAUGGGUAGGCAGAUUUGUUGGGAUAAUGAAAUAAGUAAGUGCCUUAUGACAGGGAAAGAGAAAGCCAUUCAAUCUAGUUAGUGUUGAAUCUGUGCUUUCCAUUUUAUUUUCUUUCUUUUUUUCAAGAAAAAGAGCACAAUGUUUUGACUGUUCACUUUGAAGCUAUCUCAACCUUUGAUGUUAAUGUAAGCGAUUUUUCAGGACAUUAUAGGCAAAACUGAUGAGGAGAUAUUCUCCGGGGCUGGUGUAAAAGAGAUUCAGGAUUUCAAGAGAGAAGUCUUGGAGCGAGGUUCGCCUGCGAAGAGGGAAAUAAAAUUUGAUACCCCAUUAUUUGGAUCAAAGACCUUUCUGAUAUAUGUUGAACCAGUUUUUAGCAAGGCAGGAGAUACAAUUGGUGUGAAUUAUAUGGGAAUGGAUGUGACUGAUCAGGUACCUAUCAAAUUUUUUCUGUCUUGUGGUUUCUGCAAUUCUCCUACGCUGCAUUGGUGCUCAUUUAAUAUUUGAAGGUGGUAGUCAUUUUUUUAUGCACUUCAGUCCCUGAGAAGAGAUAUAAGCUUCCAGUCUGAGCUGCUGAUGCUAAACUGAAGUAGAAAGAAAUGGAAAAAUAGGCUUCUAAAAGAUUUCUUGGAUUUGAGCUGUUCACGGGCCGGGAGGCCCAUCCAGCCUGCUCGAGCCCGAAGCCUUGCUGGUAGGCUCGGCCCAAAGGUUUUUGGGCCGGUGAGCUGGACCAGGAGUAAAGCGGCCAAGCUCGGGUUUGGGAUUAAAGCCCAGCCCAAACCCCACCCAGCCUGAAUUGUUUUUUCUUAUAUUAUUUGUUUAUAUUUGAUGUAUUUGUAAAUUUAAUUGGAAAUUAUUAUUAAUAUGUAAACUUAAUAGAAUACUAGGCAUGUAGUAGGUUGUUUCCAACAUUUGAUAGUCCAUAUUUAGUAUUUUAUAGAAUAUUUUAAAGUAUAUUAAGCAUUUUUUUAAAACAAAUCAAAAUGGUAAUGAGGCUCGAGGCCCAGCCCGCAGCCCGAGUAAGGGCUUGGAGCUUGGAAGUUACACCCGAACAUAGGGCCGAGCCAGGACCUAAGUAAAUUGCGCUGACCUUCGGCCCCAACCUGGACCAUGAACAGGUCUAUUCUUGACUUUCGGAUCGGGAGAAUCAUAUUUUUAGCAAAUCACAACCUGGUUGAGUCAUUUUUCUUAUGAUCAUGCUCAAUCUGUAUAUGAAACGAGAAUGAUUAUAUGAAAGAUGAGUCCUUUGCAUGCAUUUCAACUAAUAAAGUGCUACAAAUGAGCCCGAAGAAUUAGCUCCUCAUUAUUGAGUCCUCUGGUCUUCUCCAUUGCAUCUUCCACAUACAAUCAGCUUAUUAUCCACUAAUGAAACCCGUAAUGUACACAAGAUGUAAAGUGUUGUCUUAUUGGAGACUUCUAUGAUCCAGCGGCAUACAGUUAUGAUCAGAAAAAGAUGUAUAUAUAUAUUAUCCAUUGAUGCAGUUCUCUUGCUACUCCAUAUGUGACUGAACUCUGCAUUCUCAUUACUGCUCUGCUUAUAUUAUUUGUUUGCACCACUUUUCCUGCUAAAUUUUGCAACAAAAUACUGUUAUUACGUACCAUCUUCUAGAAUUUUGCCUCAGAUCCUGCUGGCUUUCUGUUUGAAGAGGAGGAAUUUGAUUAAUAUUGCCUUCAUCUUAGUAUGUAGUUUGGAUUUAUCUGAAAGGAAGUAAAUUUUUCAUACGUGCACUAGUUUAAUUUUAUCUGACAAUUUUUAGAUGUUGGAUUACGAGAACGAGAUGAGCAUCUGAUGACGAAAUGGGCAUCUAAAUAUUCCCAGCCAACUAAUUAGUUUCAUGCAUCUAUGUUGUAUAGGAAUCUUAGAUGCUAUAAGAUGCUGUCAUGAUACUUACAACAUGUAUUAUAGGUUAUUGACAAGUUGCAUCCCUUACUAAAUUUGUUCAUGACAUAUUAAGCUCAUUUCAUGGUUAUCUACCACAUGAAAGAAUUGUUAUAAUUGUUCGGUAACAUAUAUCAGAUGCUGUGAUUUGUUGCAUUGGAGGGUGCUAUCAACAAAUUGCAUGUGGGUUUAUCUUUUUUUUUUUAUUAGAAUUUUUUUUACGUGAAUAUCCUUCCUAAAUAUUUAAAUUUAUGUAAGUACCCUCUCAAAAUUAAUAUUUUUUUUGACAUAUGUACCUUUGCAAUCUAAAGCCAUUAAAAAAAUGAAUAGUUUAAAUUUGAAAUGACUAAAAUAUUCUUAAUAGGUAGAUGUGCAAUAUAUAUAUAUAUAUAUAUAUAUAUAUAUAUAUAUAUAUAUAUAUAUAUANNNNNNNNNNNNNNNNNNNNNNNNNNNNNNNNNNNNNNNNNNNNNNNNNNNNNNNNNNNNNNNNNNNNNNNNNNNNNNNNNNNNNNNNNNNNNNNNNNNNNNNNNNNNNNNNNNNNNNNNNNNNNNNNNNNNNNNNNNNNNNNNNNNNNNNNNNNNNNNNNNNNNNNNNNNNNNNNNNNNNNNNNNNNNNNNNNNNNNNNNNNNNNNNNNNNNNNNNNNNNNNNNNNNNNNNNNNNNNNNNNNNNNNCUUUUGUUAUUUUUUUGAUUUCUGGGAUGAUGAAAACUAUAUUCCAGUUUGCUUACAUAACAGGUGGCAAGAAGGGAGAGAAUGGCUAAGCUAAGGGAGGAGAUAGCUGUCCAAAAGGCCAAAGAGACAGAACUUAAUAAAACAAUUCAUAUAACAGGUACCAAUUUAUUUGUUGAGGUGCUACAUUGUUCUCCUUUUGAAAAAGUAAUUGUUAGGCACUAGCUAUACUUACACUGUAUCAAUACCUGUAGAGGAAACAAUGCGGGCAAAGCAAAUGCUAGCAACCAUGUCUCAUGAGAUAAGAUCUCCUCUUACGGGGGUCGUUGGUAUGGCUGAGAUUCUGGGGACAACUAAAUUGGAUAGAGAACAACGUCAAUUGCUGGAUGUGAUGCUAUCCUCUGGAGAUCUGGUUCUCCAACUUAUAAAUGAUAUACUUGACCUGUCAAAGGUUGAAUCAGGUAUUGCUUCAGUUUUUUCUUGGACAGAUCUUGAGCUGGAAACUGAAGGACAAUGAUUGAUUCAUAGCACUUUGUAAUUUUUGUCAGCAUUGCCUUUUCAUAUUAAAUUAAUCAUGAUGACUUAAGUAGCCAUUGGGGGUUUAUGAAGGAGUUUGGAUUGAUGAAGAAAGAUUUAGAAAUGGAGUAGGAAAAGAAGUGCCCCGCUCAUGACAGUAAGGAAAUAGGUGACUGUUGAUUUCAUUCUGAGACAGUUGCUUAUUCAACAUGACCGGAUAUGGUCAACUUAGUAGCCCUAGUUCAAGAAUGUGCUGUCGUCAAUGUGCUUCAUGCUGAUUAUAUAUGUUAAAAAAAUUUCGAGUACCUUGAAAGUAAUCCACACAAGUAAAAAGAAUGCAAUUGACUACAGAAAUUUAUAUUGACGUUUGGACUUGACAGACUUCAGCAUACAUUAAACUGUUGCAGAAAAUCACGGCGUGUAUAACUAUGUCAUAAAGAUAAAAAACAGAAAUCAUAACAACUAUCUGAAGAUCAGCAGUUUUCUUGAACUUCACCAACUUUUUUCUCAUUUUCCAACUUUAGAACAGUUUUCUGUCAGAUUUUGGUUUAUGCAUAUCUAUUCACUGAUUAUAAAUGAGAAUUGCAUUCACUGUGAUGACCUUUGAUGAAGUCAUUUCAUUAUUUAAGGAAUCUCAGUAAUUGUUGAAUAUCAGUUCAGCAUAGAGAAAUCUUAACUUUGCUCCUUCCAUUUAUUUUAGGAGCAAUGAAGUUGGAGGAUACAAAAUUUAGACCAAGAGAGGUAGUUAGACAUGUCCUCCAGACUGCUGCUGCAUCUUUGAAGAAGGAAUUGAUGUUGGAAGGACAUGUAGCUGACGAUGUUCCAGUUGAGGUAGGAGUUUAAUUAGCAAACACUUUCUACAUUCAUGGAAUGUUUCUAUUUCAGUUCUUCCCUACAGUUCAAGGAGAAAGACUUUCUCAGUAUUACAGCAUCCACCUGCUCUGCAGAAACCUCCUGCUCAGUGAAAUUGCAAAAGAAUGGCAGUUAUAUUUAUUUUCAUGGAGUCAGAAAAUUAUGUAAAUAUUUCUAAUAAGAAAAUAAAUUGGAUAGCCUAUGCAGGAGCUCGAAGUCAAGAGACUGUAGAACUUCUGAACAUUUCUAGGAAACUUGGUUCCUAACGCAGUCACUGGUCAGUGUUAUUUUGCUUAAAAAGUGAUACGAGUUUGUACUCGGGAAGGUCAUCUAAUCUUAAAAGACUAAGCAUGUAUAUGGCUAGAUACUUGUAUGUCAUUUUGCAUAAUUUUAUGCAUCAUACUAAACUCAUAGUUAUUUCAUUUUUUUACUGAUAACCUUUGAUGUUUUCUUACACGUCUAAUUAAUCAAACAUAACCAGUGUCUGGAAACAGAAGAUGCUCCGUAUAUAAAAUAACUGUAUGUCACAUGUCAAUUUUCUUUUAUAACAAUAAUUUGGCUAAUCUGGUUUUUCCUUCAGCAAUUCUUAUAAUUAUGGCAAAUUGACAUUCUUUCAGGUUAUUGGUGAUGUUUUAAGAAUUCGGCAAAUCUUGACCAACUUGAUUAGGUAAGAAUUGGAAUUAGACUUGUAUUCCUGGUUUUGUAAAUGAUUGAACUGAAACUGGUUUAGUGCUUCCUAGUUCAAUAAACUAUUUAAAAUUGAAUGGUCAUGCUUGUUAUGAAAACUGUUUCUGCAAAUUGAGUAGCAUGUGCAGAAAUUUUAAUUCUAUUAUUGAGUGUUAAUAAGUUUGAACUCUUGUAUAAGUUAUUAGGUGAUUUCUCUGACUACUGGAUGCAUUAUUCGCAUCUAUUCCAAAGCCUUAUCCUCAUGUCUAUAAAAGUGAGGAAUUGUUCUUAGGACUUCACAAAAAACUCCCUAGCUCCAUAAGCAAAAUUUGAACACCUGCUGUUGAUUAACACUUUCUACUAAAGUUUGCUGUAUCAAAUCAAGAUAAUGAAAUCUUGGCUUUUAGUUACAUCUUUGCGGAGCCCCAUAGUAUGAGAUCCAAACUUCCUUUGCUUAUCCCAUCAUUGGUUCAAGUCAUCUGCCCCUCCUAUUCUCCAAAUGCACAUCAAAUUAGAUAGUGCAGCUUAGAAGUUAAAGAUGGUACCAUGUUUUCAAAUUCUGGUGGGAUGUCCCACAGGAGGCUGGGAUGGGGUAACGUCCCGUGUCCGGCCGUCGUCCCAGCAUACCGAUCAGCAUGGCCUGGGGCAUCUCUCAUCCCAAGUGUCCAAAUGAGGUGGGAUGGCAGCACCUGUUCCACAAAAAAACUGGGACAGCCCCAUCUCAUGAGGCUUAAAACCUUGGAAAGUACCUUAGUUAUCAUGAUGGAGGAAAGGAAAUUAAGACCCUCAAACAUGGAGGAACACAAGGAAACAUAAAUAUGGCAUCCAAGUAAGAAACCAAGGUUGGUUUGGGAGAUAACUAUUUCACCAUAAAAAUACUUACAGGGGAACAUUAGAGAUAUAUAUAUGAACCAUGCAGUGUCAAAUUACAUACAUGCAUGAAUACAUUCGUUUCUUUGGUAUCAAGUGACUGCAAUUUCCAACAGAUAGUAGUUAAUAUUCAUAUUAAAUAACUUUAGUACCCAUAGACAUGUAUGAGGCACUAAAUAAAUAUCAAGGAGUAGCAACAAGAAGUUUAGUCCUUCUCUUUCUUAUGUAACAUAUAAGGAAUUAUUCCUUGAAUAGGUUUUCAAAGAUAAGUGUGAUCAAUAUCUUUUACCUAAAUCAGUUCUCUUGUAAGGAAAAAAGACUUUUCACCAUUACUCCAGCUGAAUAUGCAAAUAUUUGGUAAAUCUGAUGGGGGACUGUGUUUGUUUUGACCCUGGGUGGGGGAAGAUUUACAGUGUGCCGUGCGAGAAUCUUGCAAUUUGUCUGUUAGUGAUGGAAACAUUGCGCAUCUUUUCUGUGUGCUUAUUAAAUAGAUAGAACAAGCCCUUUUGUUUAUGUUUCUCGUGUUUGAUAAUAACCUAUACUGAAUAUCUUGAACUAAUCUGCAAAUUAAUUUUGCAGCAAUGCAAUCAAAUUUACACAUGAAGGGAAGGUUGGGAUAAACCUUCAUGCGGUGUCCAAGCAAUGUCCAGGAUGUCAAGAACGACACAAUCAAGGUCUAACAGCUGCUUUACAAUCAACAAGACUAGCAAAAGAGAAUUCUUCAGAAACUCAAAGCUAUAUUGAUCGAGAAAGUUCACAUUGUUCAACUUGUCAAAACAAUCUUGACCAAAACAGUACCGAGAAGCAUCAUUUGACUAAUGAAGAUACUGAGAAGCAUAAUCAACAGUAUGAAAAAAUAGUGUGGCUACGCUGUGAAGUAUACGACACUGGUAUUGGAAUACCAGGUUCUUCUCAACUCUCACUUCAGACUCUGUAAACCCUUCCAUUUUCAUUGAUGUUUGUAUAGAAUAUAUUCAUGACAAAAAUGUUUGUAUAGAAUUUAGUUCUUUUCCUUUAUCUGAAAAUAUGCACUUUUAAAAUUCUUUUUCUCUGUUGUUGGAUUAUUUACGUGUACAUGAUUGUUUCCAUCAACAGAAAAGGCAUUACCUUCAUUGUUCAAAAAGUAUAUGCAAGCUAGUGCGGAUCAUGCUCGGAAGUAUGGUGGAACAGGGCUUGGCCUUGCAAUCUGCAAACAAUUGGUGAGGCACGUUAGCUUGUUUCAGAAUCAUUCUUUUCCAUUCAAAUUCCUUGGCUUGUUCAAAUUUUGAAUUUGAUGUCUGAGAGCAGUCUUUCAACCUCUUAAGUAGCCAUUCUCUCAUGUCGCAUCCUAGAGGUUGCAGGUUUUCCCAUAGUUUGUAUGGACAACAGUAGACAACAGUGUGACUGUACCAAGCACCUCUUUUUGAAUAGCGUAGUAAGGAUUCUGACUUUUGGCAUGCCUGCAGCCCCUGGAGGCAAUAAAAGUUUGAACUAAGCUUGUAGUAGUUGGCCUAGUGCAAUCAUAUAUAUGAUUGCAAUUAUUUAUGUUGGUGAAAAAUGUUGGACGACAAUUUUGUGUUUUCUCUAGCACCAGAUGGUCUAAAACAUUUUAAAUCUUAUUUUGAGCUGUCUUUAACGUUUUUUUGUUAGUUCCAAGUUCCAACAUUAUAAAGCUUUUUGUUCUCUUAAUAUAUUGAUCAUCUAGAUUCCAACCGAGUAUCAGCUCCAAUUUUAAUUGAAAUCCUGCUUUAACAUGACUCAAUCUUUUAAUUUCCACUCCUCAAUUUUUGGAUCUCACAACUUUUAUUUCUUGGAUCAUGGAUUCUCAAGCAUCAAAUUCAAACUUUGCAGACACUUCUUGCUAAACCUUAGAAAAGGUUUAUGUUAUCAAUUCUUGGCCUACAUUUCUCUCAUGUUGGCUUGAUUUAGCAGUUUGUUAUCUCUCUUUCCUUUUCUGGAGCAUCAGGCAUUCCAAACUUAGCCUCUUUGCUUUUGCUUCUCUUCCUAGACAUCUUUAGCGAGGUAGCAUAGGCAUACAUCUUGGAUUCCUUCAUAAUCUUUGUUUUUAACACAAAUCUUUAGUUUUUUUAAGCUGAAAUAAUUUGUUAAAAUGAUCUUGAAAAAUAAAUAAAAAACAGUACCAAAUACUUUUGUCAUCUUAUAGUAUGUACAUACCCUUUUUAUUUACAGGAAUUCUGUUUCCUCAAGGUUUUAGGAAGUUCAGCUUCUUUUAUCCUCAAUUUUAGUACCAGUUCAGGCUAUUAUUCUUAUACCGAUGCUGAUUAAUAUUUUUAUGAGCACACUCGUUUAUAAAUAUGUAGAAGUGCAUUGCUAUUUGUUGUUUUUUAGAAUCAUCAAAUUGGUCUUCCUAGUGCACAACUUUAAAGGUGAAAACCAUCUUGGUCCUGUGGACUCCUGGAUAUCUACAUUAGAAUUCUGCACUGCGUACAUUUUCAAAGAUUUUGAAAUAUACAUUGAUUUCGUGUUGAUAUUAUGAAUGACAUAAUAGAAUAUUGUUUCUUUUUUCCCUUUGUCUUAUAAAAAUAAACAUGGUUCUUGCACUUACUUUGUGAAAUGCAUCUGAGAUAGGUGGAGCUGAUGGGUGGAAAUCUUACUGUGACCAGCAAAGAGCAUUGUGGAUCAACAUUUACCUUUGUGUUGCCCUGUAAAGUUCCUUCAAAGAGGGAAAAUUCUGAUGAUCAUGAUGAAAAUGAAGCCAUUUCUGAUUCUGAAAUUACAGCUGAUUCCAGUAGUGAUGAAAUUAAUGGGUCAUUUGUCUUUAAGCCUCUGACACGGGGUACUUUAUUCUCAUCUGACGGAUCCAUGGUUUGCAAGACAAAACUCUUUGGCAGUAGCAUGCUUGAUGCCUUACAUAUUUCAAAUGGUUUGUCAGAGUCUGACUCAUACUCCUCUAAUGAUUGCACAUCAAGGAAGAGGCUUUCUUCUGAUAGGGUAUCUGCAAUUUCCGAUGCAAAAAAGAUGCAGGCUGAACCUAAAGGUCCUGCACAGCAAAGCCUAGGGCAUAAUGUUAAUGAUUUUGGGAGGAUAAACAAAAGAGAUGAAGGAUGCCAGGAUUCUACAAAUGGCUUUGUAAUGCAUAAAUUUGACAGUUCUAUUAUGGAUUCCAGCAGAACUCAGAGGAAUACAGGCUUGCAGCAAGGAAAGAUGGCAUCCUCAGAGAGAGCAAAUAUGGCUGAAAGUGUCAAGAGCUUACCAACAUGUCAAAGCCCAACGCAUGAGAAAGAAGAUACGUGCAUGUCAGAUGGAAGUUCAUUCAAGAUUCUUCUUGUCGAAGAUAACAAGAUCAAUGUAAUGGUGGCACAGUCAAUGAUGAGGCAGUUGGGUCAUAGAAUAGAUGUUGUGAAUAAUGGGUUAGAAGCUAUCCGUGCACUUCAGCGUUCUCAUUAUGAUCUUAUUUUUAUGGUAAUACCCUAAUGUGAAUUUUUUCCUUUCCAAAUUUCAAGUGUGAUAAAACAUUUAGAGAUUUAUUCAGGACCUAUUUGAUUCAGAUGGCAGUUAUAUUGUAUAUUUGCUUGCAUUUUCAUUACAUCUUAACUCUAUCAUGAAUUAGUAUUUUCACAAAUUGAUCUCAACCUAGGUGACAAUUAAUCUCAGAAUAUUUGUAGUGAUAAAUAAUAUUCAAAUCAAUCCUCCAACAUACUUUCUUUAAGAUGAUUGUCGCAGAGAUCAUUGUUACUAGGUAUCAUGAGUAUUGCAGUGCAUGGUGCCUUUUCUUUCAAACAAUUUGCUUAUAGCUCCAAGUAAAUUAAUUUAUAUGUUAUUAGUUUUUAUCCCAUUGAAAAUUUGUUUACAAGUUCUGAAUAAAUUUGAAAUAACCACUUGCAAUCAUUCAAGUCUCAUAUAUGUCUAUCAUGAAAUCUUGUUUCCUGUAAGUAGCGGCAAUCAGUUUUGAAAAGACACUAAAAAAUAGUGGUAGCAAUAUCAUGCAUUUUUUUAUACUGUUGUCUCAAAUUCUUGCCCUUUAGAAAUUAAAAGUGCUAUGGAAACUCUUUUAUGAGCUAAUAACCCUCAUCUAAUUGUCUGUCUCAUGUAAAUGGUUAGAAGAAAUGUCUAUCUGAUAUUAGCUUAUUCAUAAUCAAAGUAUUGGAAACUUUUAGUAAAUUUAUUGAAAACCAUUCCUAGGCCUCUAAUCGCCAUCCACAUCUCAUGGACAUACAAUAAUUGUUCAUUGCAGUUGUUGAUACUGGAAGGACCUUUACAAUAAAUUCAAAACUCUUUCUUGCUUUAUAAGUGCUGAUGCCAAGAAACAAUUGUUGUCCAUCUCAUUUGAAAUGCAAUCAGAAAUUGUCCAUUUUGAUGAUUUGUUUGUUGGGCAAGUGGAUGGAAUGUUAUUGUUUGAAUGACAUAAAGUGCCAUAAAAAAGCACACAUCAGCAUGUUAUUAGCACAAAAUUGGAAAGAUAACAUGAAUUCUAAAUGUAGUAAGCUCAGGUCAUGCCGGAACUAUUUUUGCAAGGCAAAGUCUUGUUUGAACUUAUAUUAAACUACAUGAGCUAUGAUCAGUCAUUAGUAAGCAUAACAUCUGUAUGCAGAACUAGUAGGCAUAACAGCAUUUUCAAUCAACCAAUAUGAAGCAUGACAUGACAAAAAGUCUUCCUUAAUGACAGGCAGUGGAGAGAUUAUUUCUACAAUAUUUUAUUACAUGGAAUGUUGGUGAAUGUUGCUUAGCAUUGGAACAGAUUGACUGGAAGCAAAACAGCACACUAGUUACACAUUACAUAAUUGAGGCUCACUUUAUAAACCUUAUGAGCCAGUAAUACUGACUCCAUGGUACUUGGCAGGAUGUCUGCAUGCCAGUAAUGGAUGGUAUGCAAGCCACCAGAUUAAUCCGGUCUUUUGAAGAAAAUGGUUACUGGGAUGCUUCUGUAACAAAUGGAAAUGAUCACACUAUGACCAGCUCAGAUUCACUAACACAUGGUCCAGAUGCAGGACAGAGCAGAAAAAGAAUUCCUAUCAUCGCAGUAAGUUUUCUAACAGAAUAGGCCUAUCACUUUCAAUCACAAUUCUCAUAUGUUAUUAUCUUGUUACUAUCAAGAAGAUAGAUACAUUUAAGUACACUGAUUUUCAAUUAACAUCUUUUUAUAUGCCAUGUUAUGCUUCUUUCAAAUUAUUAUACAUAGCACAUUAUCCUGUGUUUAAGGUAUUCUGUGAUUGAAAGAUUGAAAAGUAGGAUUCUUUGUCUGAAUUUAGAAAUAUGGACAUAUACAUUAGCUAGUCAUAUUAUUCAGCUAUUACAAGCAAGGUAGACAACAACUAGUCAUAUUAUUCAGUUAUUACAAAUAGGUCUGCAAUUUCGAUCUUGGGCACUGUACCGGUACGUUACCAGUUUGGGACAAUACGGUCAGUAUAGUACAGUACGUACUCCAUAUCUAAAUAGCUUCCGACCUCUUUUUUUCAUUUUUUAUCAUGAUACCACCCAAGACGGGACAGUACAGGUCGGUACGAUAUGGUAUGCAUCCUGAUUUCGAGCAGUACUAGGCAAUACGGGGCAGCUCUCCUCGGUCUAGACUAGUAUGGAUAGUUCGACUCAUAUAUCAAACCGAACCUAAGUACCAUAGUGGUACAAUACGAUAUGAUCGAUAUGUACAGUACAGAUCAUAUGGUAGACCUUGACUAUAAGUAUGUCUUCUAUCAAGCCGCAUCUUCCAAUAGACAAAUCAAGACAAACAUGAACUAUAAAAGGAAAAAUAAGGAAGUGUCUUGUCUGAUAUGUAUUGUUGUGCUGCAGAUGACAGCAAAUUCACUAGCUGAGAGUGCUGCUGAUUGCCUUGCCAAUGGUAUGGAUUCAUUUGUAUCUAAGCCUGUGACCUUUCAGAAUUUGAAACAAUGUCUCAAACAGUACUUGCCGUGUUGAAUAUUGUAAAGUGGUUCUUGCAAAAUAGAAAAAGAAGAAUGUAACCAAGGAAAAUUUUGUAAUUAAUAUAUUAAUAUAUCUUCUGUCUGCUUGUAAAUUGGUGUCUCAUCAUCUCAAUUUGUCUUAUCAAAUCUUCAUGAUUCGAAAUCAAGGACUUUACAGUUCUCAUACAGAUGUCAGUUGUUCAAAGUGUUUUCCCACACUUGAACAGUGUUAGGAUAAAAUGACAAAAGACAACUGAUGAAGCUGAGGCCAAAAAAAAUAGAAAAAAAAGACUCUAUCAUCCAUAUUUAUGUUUCAAAAGAUAUUUUUAUAUAUCCUUUUGUUUAUUUUGUUAUUAACUAAUGAUGCUUGCCCAUCUAGGUGCAAUUAAAUUCUUAAAAGAUACUGCAUGGUCCUGUUUACAUAUUACAAGUUAUCUGAUAUCAAUCCAGUUCAAAGAUCUGCACUGUAUGGAUGGCCAAAUGGUUAUUGUGUCACUUUGUGUCCUAAAAUUUCUCAUGUUUCAUUUACGAAAUAAAGUUUGCAGGAGAGGCGUAUCAGAUUCUUAUCUGCAAUACUCUUUGAUCAUCUUUUGGGCCCAAGAAGAGCAGCAAAAGAGAUCCAUAAGACCUAGUCGUUCUCUUCAUUAUUCUUUUUGCUGUGUUCCAGUUGUUUCAUAUAACCACCUGAACAAUAGUAAUUAGAUUCGUAUCUGCAAACCUGCAAUACUCUUUGAUCAUCUUUUGGGCCCAAUAAGAACAGCAAAAGAGUUCAAUAAGACCUAAUCGUUCUCUUAAUUAUCCUGUUUGCUGUGUUCCAGUUGUUUCUCAUCACCACCUGAACUAUUCAUACAAUAAAAUGAUUAUAAUGUCUGAGGACCAAUUGAUAUUUUCUGAAAUUUUAACACUACGUAUUCCAAGUGAACACCUGAGAGAGUCAAAAAUAAUUCAAUUUAUUUAAUAAUAAUAACUAUUAUUAUUAUAAUAACCUACUGAAGGUAGGGUCACUGUAGUCCCCGGCGCUCCGCCCGUCGGACUUGUACACGAACGGCAGCUCCGCGACCGCCACCUCGAACAUCUCUAGCACACAGCAACUCACCCUCUCCUGCCGAUUACACCAUCGCCACCGCCCACACCGCAUCGUGCGCCUGGAAAUCGUAGGCGCUCGCCUCGGCGACGUCCGAAUCGGGAUUCGCCCGGAGGGUUUCCCCCUUCCACCGCCUCUCGAACUCCCCGGAGCCGCUCCGAUCUGGGGGCUGAUGAGCACGUGGACCUGCUCGGACUGCGGCCGAUCGACGGCUGCAACGGAAUGAGGUAAGUAUGUAGCCACUGCUCAGCUGCGGUAGUCCGCAGGUUAUGCCUUGCAUCGCGAGGGAGCGGCAAGAUAAAACACCCAGUUUCUCGAGGGUGUCACGUGAUGCAGCCAUGAAUGUAGAGCCAAUGCAAGUGCGAUGCCCCAUGCAGCUUUUUUAUUUAUUUAUUUAUUUAUUUACUGAUUUAUACCAUUCUAAUAUGGAUGCAUUCAGAAAAAUUAAAAACAACAAAUUUCGGAGCGCUCUAAGCAACUCCUCUCCAACUUAUAGAAUACCUCCAGAGUAUGAGGCUACCUAGUCCGUGGCCCGUUAGCCUCUCUGAACAUGUGAUUGGCCUGGAAAACUAUACUGCCGGUGCCACGCUAUAUCCAGCCAAUUACUAUAGCCGAAUCGCUUUUAAGCAUAAUUGCACUAGCCUGCAACACGCGUCGAGCAUGGCCCAAGCUGACCCAUGCCACCCUCAGCUCGGCCUCCGAAACUGAGGUGUCGAAAAUCCGGCAACUACCACCCUAGAGUCCGAGCUUCUGAUGAUGAAGCCAGCACCUCCCUUCCUACCACUAUCUAGCACGCAUCCAUCGAAGUUAACCUUGAGGAAACUCGAAGGUGAAGGCUUCCAAGUGAAAAACAUCAUCUGAAGCCCUAUACGAGCAAAGAAAGAGCCCCAAGUGCCCUGAACUAUCGAAAAUCCAUACGAUGGAUCUGCAUAAGUGAUCUCUGCCGCUUGUACCCAGGCACGCUCCGCAACGAACCUCGGUGAAGGGAUGCUCUCGCGAAAGGUCCAGGCAUUCUUGGCUAGCCAAAUUUGAUAAGCAAUAUAGCUCACCCCAACAGCCACCUGCCGCGUCUGGAGGGCGUCGGCGCAUCGACGAAUCGCCUGCAAGAAGGAAUGCAUGCGACUCCAUAUAUCUGGCAGGAUCUCGACGAGCCUCCAAACCCUACUAGCUCACUCACAUUGGAGCAGAGCAUGGUCUACGGUCCCAUCCACCUAGCAGUUAGGGCACUAAGUUUGAAUGCCUAUUCCCCUCACACUCAACACCAAUCUCGUCGACAACCGACUCCGAGCUACUUUCCAUUCCAUAGGAAUAAUACCAUCCUUAGGUGAAGACCAAACCUCCAUAUCCAUGCACAGUCCAGCCUUGGGCGGUGCUCACUUUGGAGGACACGUUAGAUAUUUCUCACUCUAACACUAAGCCUGCUAAACGUACUCCAAACCCUCAUGUCUGGACCGGCACACCCCGGAACCGAAAGCAACCGGACCCUCUCUUGAGAUGCUCUCCAAACAACCGACUGAUCUUGCUGGUAUCCCACUCCACCCCAUCUGGCCGGAGCAAAUCACAAACCCGAAGUCUGGCAUGAGAAAUAAAUGGGUCCAGGCCCGACAUGAUCCAACCCACAGGAUCCAACCCACACUAACUCUUGACUCGGUCCGGCCUGUCAUGAGAGAGAGAGAGAGAGAGAGAGAGAGAGAGAGAGAGAGAGAGAGAGAGAGUAGUAGUAGUAGAGAGAGAGNNNNNNNNNNNNNNNNNNNNGAGAGAGAGAGAGGUGGUUUCAAGUGAGAGAGGAGGAGAUCUAAUGAGGACCGAAAGCUAAAAAAGACAAAUAUCGUGCAUGCAAGAACUAAACGUAUCUCACAUGAACAAAAACGUACAGGGGUCUGGGUCAACCUUAGAGACGGACCGAACCAAAUGUAUCUGCUUGAAUUAGUUUGCUUCGGGUUUUAAAUAGGAUUGGAUUGGUUGUAAUUCUAAUUCUUCAACAAUUGGAUUGAGCCGGGACCGGAGCAGAUCCACAUGCAUACUGUUUAUUGGAAUGUAACUUGUGGUAUUAGAUUUAUUCCUUCGUUAUCAUUACUCAUUAGCUUUUACUUUAUGUUUUAUUUUAAAUGGAUAGAUCUGACUGAACAUUUGCCUAUGCUUAUAUUAAAUAUUUGAACAAUCUUAGUGUCAUUUAUAAUUCCCUCUCUCCUAUUUAUCUCUUUUUCUCCAUUGACUUUUUAAUAUGUAUAAGAUAGCUUUGUAGUUAUAUUGACGCAAAUGAAAUUUCUUACCUUUAUUAUUUAGUUUGUAAUUUGUAUUAGACAUAGAUUAUAACUUUAUAUUUGUCUAUUUCUUGUAUAAGUUAUUAAGUUGAUGUUGUUGGAUUUUAUUUUGUCAUACGAAACAUCUUCGAUAAUAGUACCUGUGUUACAUUUGUGAAGGCUCAAGGUAAUAUAUUGUUCCUGUACAAAAUCAAUAAUUUACUUGCCCUUUUAAAAAAAAAGAAAUAUAACCCAAGAAUCGACCUGAACCAGCCUAAUGUUGAUUGGGUUGCGUUUGGCCGGUUUCCACUAUUGAUUUGUUCAAUACUGGCUUCAAAAAUCAAGAACCGGUUACCAUCAGAUCGGUUCUUACUUCUUAGCCUGUAACCAAAGUCUGUGUUAGCAUCUAUAAGGCGGAUUUGAGUGCCAUGCACCACAUGAGAACAAAUUUCUUCAUGCUUAAAAAAAAAACAAAACAAAGAGGAUCGAUCAUAACCAGCUAUAGAGGGGAUCACAUAUUUAUAAGAAAUCUGGCCCGUAGGUUACCAGCCGCACCACUCAGAGGUUUAUUUAAACCUGAAAGAUCGCCAAAGUCACCCUCUUUUUUCCCCUGAUUUUAAUACGCCAAGACAGCCCCGGCAACGUCUGCAGUCUAAUAAGACUUUUCAAGGAAGAAUUUUGGUUGUUUGAAAUAUGUUCCCGCACAAGAAAGUAGCCUUGCUUAAAGUUUUCCAUCGGAUACUGAACACUGCCUCGGAGGCCUCGUCCUUUUUUUGCAUCAUUAGGUAUUUACUUCCUAGCAAAUUUUUCAUCUGAGCGAGCGAGAGAAAGGGAUGGUUUCGACUCACGUAUUUGAUAGCGGAUGAGAAUCCCUAAGCAUCUAAAUCUGGAGGCUCGGAAACGAAGUAUGCGAUGCUUGGUAGCAAGACAACUUUUAAAAAGAAACGAGCACCCUUAAAAAGGAAUUAAUGAGAUGGCCUAUGAUACAACCAUCCGCCAGAACAACUUUUAAAAUUCAAUAUUCUGAAUAGCCAACAAUGUCUUAUUUGCACCUAAAAAUCAGGUAAUGUACACAUCAAUUAAGAUUGUUCUACAGUUACCAGGCACCGCACCAGACAGGAUGAAACACCAAUUUGUCCAAACGCUGGCCAGGUUACCGGCUUUGACCAUGCAGUCAACCAGAUAUCCAUGAAAUAAGGAACAGGAACCUUUUGGCUAGUUUCUAGUUGAUCAGUUGUUGAUAAUACUGGAACCACCUUGGAAUCUGAGCUAAAAUCUAUCAUCUAAGGAAGGAGCCAUACCUGAGCUAGAAUUCCAUCAUCCGAGGGCAUGUAUGUUUAACUUGCACCUAAGUGCAUGAAAUUAUAAACAGCAAGCUCUGACUGCCCCCAGGUACUACCAUUUUUGUAUGGCGCUUCAUCAUCUGUAAAAGAAAUCCUGCAUAUAGAUCACACCGGCAAAUCUUUCCAAUUUUGGCUUUAUGCUUAGCCUGGAGGUAAGAACAUACUGAUCAGUUUCAUGCUAAACAGAAGCAUGGACGGAUGAACUGGUGAAUAUGAAUUGAUGAUAAUGCUCCACGCUCGAACUAUAAAUAUGCCAUGAAAUGACAUGAGUUUGAGCAUUAUCCUCCAAUGUAGUGGUAUUGAGAGGGUAAGGUGCCAUUUGAAGAUCAAGUUCUAAGGCUGAUGCAAGCAUGGCAAAUUUCCAGCAUAUGGUAUAUAAUAAAUCGAACAAUAUUGCAUCUUUCAACUGCAUAUAUAGAUCAAAUUCAAAGGGUACUAAUUAAUCCAUGUCAAUGACGUCAAUGCACAUCUAAUAACAGAUCACGAUGUCCCUUUCAAGUGCAUAUAGUUAAGGUAAGAAAACACUAGUUAACUAUGCUGAUGAUGCCAAUGCACAUUUAAUAACCGAUCAUGAUGCCCCAAGAGUCUUCAACUCAUGGAAGAUGGUAAUGACACUCAUUAUAACAGGUGCAUUCAGUCAAGGAUGCUGAUGAUGACUUAUGAUGUGAGUGCAACAGCAUAAUUUUCAUGAUGGGAUCCAUUCCUAUUUUGUUAUCUUCAUGAGGGAAGCUUAAGGAGCAAGAUACAUCCCUUCGAGUUACUGCUGGUAGGUAGUAGGAGCUCCGUUGUGCUCAGCUGCAGACCCAUUGACUGAAUCCUUCCUCCGUCCAAAAGGGUUCUUUGAAAAUGUAUGAACAGUCAAGAAAACACAACGUAAUAAUAAAUUCGACAGUCAGGGCUUAUAUAGUUCAACAGUAAAAUUGUUAAAAGCGAUGUAGAAAUGCAUUGGGCCGUAAUCAUACAAAAUGAAUCUUCACAUCUUCUUGAAGGGUAGUCAUCAACGUACUUUUACAGACAAGAAAAGACAUGAGCAUGAAUGCCAACAUCCUAGAAUCAGAAUUUUGAUUCUUAAAAUGUCAAAUGACAAGUCCUAUGAACUUGGGGAAACAAAAGUUAACCAAAAAAGGUGUCCGAUGUAAUAAAGUUACAAAUAUGACAAUUAAGGAUGAGGGACAUAAUGUGGCUGAUACACUUCUAAAUAUUCUAGCAUGUCUUACGAGAAACAUUUUAUGGGUGCAAUUGGUUGGGUUCACCCAACUUGACCAACAGAACGGGCAAAAUUUGGUGGCUUCAUAGGUAAUAAAGCUAACCAUAUAAGACCAAAUGCAAGUGGGCACUGUCUUAAAGAGCAUCUGGGACAACAGCCAAAGCACCCCCCACCUUAGGCAGAGCGGCAAUUAAGGUCCUUGCCUGUGGCUUGGGUGGUCUGUACCAAUAUAGGUGGCUCAAUCUAUGGGUAGAUGCCUAUGCAGCUGCUAUGUUUACAGGUGCCAGAGGUGGACACCUCAGAUGGGUCAAGCACCGCAUAACCUGAUACCUGCCCUGUUGGAAUUUAAAAUUUUACCCUUCCCCACCACAUGCCCCUCUACUUCUUCAAACAGAAGUUAUUGCCAAAUCGGAUAUGAAGCAAUGCCGACGCUGUUCACCUCUAUACCACUUAUACUGUUUCAAACCACUACAAGGGGGUAAUAACAGCAAAGUAAACCUUUUCUUUGAUGUCAAGCCACGUUCGGAAUUACAUUUUAUCCCAUUAUUGACCGUCAAUGGUUAUAACAGCCAUUAUUUUCCUUAAAAAAAUUAUCAAAGUUUUAAUAUUAAAAUAAUCGCUAAAAUAACGGCCAUUAUAAUGGUUUUAUAAUGGAAAUAAUGUAAACAAUAAUGGCAUUAUUUUUCCUUUAUUUUUUAUUAGAUAAAAUAUUAAUAUAUUUUGGACCAUAAAAUAAUUUUUGGAGGGAAUUUUGAGAAAGGAAUAUUUGAAUUUUGAAAAGUAUUAUUUUAGAAGAUACAACCGAAAGAAAUGGCCGUUACUAAUGUUAUAAUGGUCUGUUGUAACAGAAAAUAACAGCCGUUAUCUUUUCCCAUGUUAACGGGGUUGCCCAAACCUGUUAUAAAAUCGUUAUCACAGUUAAAACACCAUUAUAUAAAACCAUGAUGUCAAGUGGAACAAUCAGAGAACAAAAUGAAAUGCAAACUCUUUAUCUAUAGCAAUGUAAAUAUUAAUAACUGAAACUUUUAAUUUGACAUCAAAUGGAAACCAAAUAACAAAAUGAAAUGCAAAAUUUUUUCUAUAGUAAUGUGAAUAUUAAUAAUCAACUCAUAAAUCAGCAAGCCAACUCAGACUCUAAACCAAAGCAAAAUCAGAUAUAAGGUGUUAAAUGCAAGCCCUUCAAGUGAUGCGGAUCUGAUCAGGAUUGAGCAAAUCAAUGAUAUUGUAGGGUCUAAAAUUUAUACAUAGAUAAAAGCAAUGAAAUUAAAUAAGUCAAGAUGUCACACGAAAAUCAGUGAAAGGCGAAAAGUUAUGCUCCAAAAGGUCAUCAUCUCCAAUUGCAGGCCCAAUCCUCAAGCCCAAAUAGAAAAAGAAAGAGCUAGAGACAAAGAAUCGAGAGAGAACGAGAAGCAACAGCCAUUAUUCAUCCUAAUUGCACCCUUCUCUUCUCAAUUCAUAGUUUUCAACAUGAUAAGGCUACUAAAUAGUCCACCAUUUAUUAGGACCUUAGUUACCAGAAGCGCAGGUCUCUUAAAAAAAAUAUAAGAAAACACUUAAAGAAACAGGUAAGGGACAAGUUCCUAAGGAGAUUCGGAAGCAAAUCUUCCACCCUAAAUGGAACAUUCCUGCUACCAAGAUUUGAAAACAACUAGCCUUUCUCCCUAAAAAAGAGAAAGAAUCAAAAUAAGAUUUAAUGACAUUUUCAAGCCUUCCCUACUAGAACAUAUAUGUGACAUUAUAAUAACAGAAGAAUUUGUAUAUUUAAUGAAACUGAUACGGAAAGCCAUUAAAACUGAUUUUAAGCACCAUCUUAAUAGUGUAAAACCUUUCCUACCCAACACCAGAUCUAUAAUAGGAUAUAUAGAAAAUUAUAGAAAAUUAUCCUACUGAAAAUAUCCAAAGGCCCCACAAAAGAUAUAGCCAAAAUGUAGUACGAAAGAAAAAAAGAUGCAAAUAAUAUCAUAAGGCCUAAUCCCUAAUUACCUAUAGAGCCAAAUUGCUCUCUUUGAUACAUAGGAGCUCUUUAAGUGUGCAAAAAUAGGGCAUAUCUAAUAAUUUAUAUUUUACGACCAUCAAAUCGACAAAUUGGAUUAAAAGAUCACCAGGAGGUCUCAAUAUUCACUGAAAAAGGAUAUUGUAUUCGCAUGCCACCGCGACCAGAGCUAGGAAGAACAGCACCCUGCAGAUUCUGGUGAACAGUUGUAGCACCAUUCACAUCCUGCACAGAUAGUUCAAUUUUUAAAUAAAUUAAAUACAAAACCAUAAUCAUGCUCAAAGCAAUAUACUUGAUUAAAAUGUGAGAUCAAAAGAAUGCAAUUUUUAAUACUACUCACAUCAAACUCAAUGAAGCAAACAGUAUUUCUCUCCUGACGCAAGAUCUUCAUUUGUUUGUAACCAGGUUGCCUGCAUGAAAUAAAGCAGAGUAAGCAAAAAAAAAUCUAAAAAGAACGAUUUUGUGAGUAAGCAAUGCCCAAUAAGGGAAUUAAACUUAAUAUAUAUGGAAAAGAUAUCAUUCUCACUCUUAACGAUAAACAGCCAUCAUUUUUGUGUGUGUGUGUGCAAUGUCAAGGUCAAGAUUCAUACACACUAAAAAUGCCCCUAAGUUCUUCCUCAUUUACGUUCUCGCCCAGAUUGCCAAUAAAAAGUGUAUUGCAUGGAGGAUUGUCUUUUGUAUUCUGCAAAACAAAGACAAAACAGUAACAGUAGUGUAAAUGUGAUGAUUGAAGCAUUAUCUAGUGAUAAGCUUGCCAAGUGAAAAUAAAAAGAGACCAAAAUAAAAUGCAACUUUAGUAAUAACGACAUAUGGCUGUGUUUGGUUGUGAAAUCAGUUAACCUGGAUGCAUGGGUUAAUUUGCUCUCUCUUUGGUGAAAAAAGUAGCUCUGCCAACUUUUCAAAAUACCGACUUUACCCUCAGAAUUAAUUGGUUACUAGCAUUUGCCAGGUUAAAGUAGAAUAAGUGGAGUAAACGGGACCUUUUCCAUUUAGUCCUCCUUCAACCCAUAGCCAAACACAACCUAAGUUAUUAAGAGAUGCUCUAUCGAGCUCCAAAUUAAGAAUUAAUAUUAUGAGGCUUUAAUAACUAUGAAAGCAUAAGUGAUUCCUAUCAGUGAACAUGAAGAACUAAUGUACUGUUAAAUGCAUUGGUAUGCUAUUUAUGUAUUGACUUUACAUCACACAGGUUCUGUACUCACAUCACAUUUUAAAUGUUAUUCACAGCAACUGCUUUAACAAGUCCUUGUUCUAUGCACAUUUAUUAAUACAUUGGCAUGCCUAAUAUAGGCUUAAUAGAUUAACCAAACUCAUAAAACUCCUAAACUCCAUAUGUUGUUCCUAUAAUAAAGGAUUCAAAAGUAUCAAUUAUUUUUUACUAUAUAAUGCUUGAUUUCUAUGAAAGAUCAAAAUUUACACUCCAUAUGUUGUUCCUAUAUUAAAGGACUCGAAAGUAUCAAUUAUUUUUUUACUAUAUAAGGCUUGAUUUCUAUGAAAGAUCAAAAUUUAUAUGUUUGCCUUUUAUGUCCCAUAUGAUGUUCCAGAAAAUUUGAACCAUUAGCAUGAUGGGUCAAAUAACUAUCACCCCUAUACUUAAAUCCCAUAGUUUGCCCCUGCAUUAUCCUAUGUCUUCAUAUAUAACUAUUACACAAACCACAAAGACCCACGCUAUGAUCACACAAACACAGAUAGAAAGUUUUCAAAUCUUUUGGACAACGUCAAUGCUUAAGACCUCAUCUGGGUUCCCGUUGUCCUUGCCAUACUUUCCAUGUACCGUGAUGAUCAGUUGGCAAUAAAUACCUCCUCCUGUUGAGCAGGGCUUCAGAUUCGUUAGGAAACAGAUGGCUAGCAAAUUUUUCGUUGGAAAAGGCCUUGAAAUAUUUCCAGCAUUUCUGUGAUCAGUUCCAUCGUCUAUCAAGGCCUGGUAAAUCAUCCCCAUAGUCAUAAUUUUCCUAUUUCCACAACAACUACCUCAGGACUCAAUACCUUCCAGCAAGUACAUACUUUAAAACUUCUACACUUAUACCAAUUUAACGCAGCACGAGAGACUAUUAGUAUAAAAGAUGGAAAAUAACUGAAAGUAAUGAAAAUAGAUUAUGGACUUGAUGUAUAUCAGCAUAAAAAUACAAACAAGAUGCAUCAUGUAUGUGCAGGGUCAGCUACACAGAUCCUACUUCACUGAUAAAGAUAGUCUAUACAAAUAAUUAAUGAAUGCCCCUGUCCAAUUUUUACCAAUCACGUCAUCUUCUUUUUCAAUCUUUCAACAAACAUGCAAAAAUUACUGUUUAUAGUGGUCAUCCUUUGCUCAUAGUGCACAUCUAAGUCAUGUCAAAAGUCCACACUUGUUUUAUCUUUCUGCCAUUGAUACUCUAAAACUUCAUCUAGUAAACUCAUAUAUGGCUGUAUUCUUCUAGUUUUGCCCUUAGUAGCUGGAACCUUCUCUCCAGGGUAAAUGCACUUACUUCAAAAUAUUCUAGGUUCUCGAAUUCAUAUCCGCUUCUUUGCUAAAAGUGUUUCUAAAAUAUCCUCUUCCCGUACCCACUCCGCACACGCGCUUGAUUUUGGCAACUAAGAUUUUACCAUAUGUUUCCAUCUUUGUUGCCAUAACCUUAUGCUGAUUGGCAUCCUCCUAGCCAAUGUUUUGUUCAUCACAAGAAAAAUGGUUAAACUUUUGUAUUGUAAGCUUUUCCCUUAAGGUCUGAAAGGUAGCAUAUAGUGCAUAUCACAACAAAAAAAAGCAUAUUCAAUGCAUCCACUUUGAUUUGAGCUUCUUGGAAAAUCAUUUAUAUUCUUCAUUUUUCAAGGAUAAAUAUAAUGUUGCAUGAUCGAUUGAUGGGGAAAUUGUCCGUUCCUUGAUCCUAUUGCAUUAGAUAGGUAUCUUAAUGAUUGCAGGAAAGCCAUUGGUAAGAAGAACCAUGUGCCUAACUUUUAAGAAUCUCUUGCAUAUGUUCAUAUUGCUUCAAUUUUGGUUUUCAAUUAAAACUUGACCACUAUUCAUUGAUUGGUUAGAAAUAGUUGUUUAGCUCAAAAUCAAGCAACUUGGCUUGAUUGGAUCUUGAACAUUUUAAGGGUUUAGAUAUGUUUUUAACUUUAUCUCCUAAUUUAUAGCUCUUUGAUGAUAUCUUCUAGAUUGUCUUUGUCAAAAGUAACAUCAACAAGCAUUGUAUUUAAGCCACAAGAGCAUAAGGACUCCCAAAUGGAUGUAAGCAAACUAGUGUUAAAAGCUGAUCACUAAUUGUUGAACCUGUUCAAAGCCUGCAACCACCAAAAAAAGGCAGUAUUUCUAUAAAAUAUGUGUCCUCAUUGUUGCUCCUGCAUGUCUCUCUAAGGCCCUGUUUGAGGGAGCUUUUGAAGGGCCAAAAGACACUUUCUGGCUCUCCAAAAGCACUUUCAGAUAAAAUAGAGAUGUUUGAUAAAAAUUUCGAAAAGUUGUUUUAGCUUUAGCUUUUUUGGGAGAAGCUCCAUGUUGGAGUUUUCCGGAAAAACACUUUUAGGUUCGAUUGGAGAGCUAUUUUUUACCCAAAAUACCCGUAAUAAAAUAUAACAAUUAAACAAAAUGCCCCUUUAAUAAUUGUUUAACCAAUUUUAUCACAUAGCUAGAAAUUUUAUUACAUUAUGAAAAAUUAAUUUACACUAAUAAUUAUAAUAUUUUAUAUCUUUAUUAUUAUAUUAUACUAUAAAUAUAAUAUUAUAUUACAUUAUAUCAUAAUACAUUGAAAUGUUAUGUUAAAUAAUUUAAUAUUAUAUUAAAUUAUUAUGCUAUAGGAUACAAUAUUAUAUUACUAUAUUAUAAUAAUAUUAUAUUACAUUACAGUAAUAUUAUCCUAUAUCAUAUAUAUAUAUAUAUAUAUAUAUAUAUAUGUAUUAAUACAUAUUAUUUUUUUUAUGCUCUAUUGUAUAAUAUUAUGCAAUGUCUUUUAUAGUUAUUUUGUCAUAAAAAAGUGCUUUGUUAUUUUGUUUACCAAACACAUGUUAAAAUGGCACAACACUUUAAAAAUGCAGUUAUCAAAUAGCAAACAGCUUUUUAUAAAAGCUCUACUUCCAAAAGUUCUACUGCCAACAGCUCCUCCAAACGGGGGCCUAAGCAUAGAACUUUUUUCUGAGAAAUAGAGUGGGGAUGCCACCACCAAAGUUUAAACCAUGGACAUCUGGUUUUGUCAAGAAAAAUGUCAACCAGCUAAACUACGGCCACUUGGAAUCAAACAUCAUCUUGAAAACUCAUAGCCUAUUAUAAAUGCCUUCCAUAUCAAUAAAAUUAUUUCUACUUCCUCCUCACCAAAUAUUUCUGCAAUUGAGAAGCAAAUGUAGCUAUCUAAUUGAACUUCCUAGUAUAAGGCCAAAGUUGUCUUUAAAAAUCCAUAUUGCUCUAGGACUUUACAUCUUAUUUUUUCCAACAAUAUCAUUGAACUUUGCUUUACAGAUGACUUUAAGGCCUACCUGGUUGGCCCCGAAAGUGACUCCCGGAACUUUCUGAAAACCGACUCCAGGGAGUUGGUGAGUUUGGAAAUGAAAGUGGCCGCUAGGAAGCUACUACCCAGCCUACUCCUGGCCUUUUAAACUAGAUUCAUGACUUCGGACCCCUCCACCUCUUAAACAUGGGCACAAGCGUCCACCUCCCAACCUCACUCUCCCCUGGGGCAAUUCGAUCACCUCCAAGCAAGCCCUCACGACCCCCUCUCUCCCAGCCCCCAAAUGGUGGUCAAAUGGUGGUCUCUCCAACAUUUCUAUCCUUUCUCGUGGUGAUGUUUCCAUGGUCACUAAUUCAUUGGAUCGAGCAUUGGGAGUCAAGGCAUGGUUACUUCAUUCUUAGAUCUCAGGCGGUUUUCUCUAGUUACUCUUUUUCCAUUGAUUUCUUUUAUUUUUGGUCGAUUUCGUUGCAUUCUUUUACUUUUUGUUAUGAUUGUUAAUAUAGGGUUUGCGAUCUUGGAAUCAUAGAUUAUAAUCAGAUCUGCUAGUUUUGAAAUGAUCAUUUUUAUUAUUUUUUGAAAUUUUUUGACUUUUCGAGAAACUUGUUAAGUAGAUCCAUUGUGUUGUGAGGUAAACAGGUUGUUUCUUGGGUGCUGAGGGUUUAGCAUUCCAGCAAUUUUAGAUCUUUUCUUUAGCAAAAGAAAUCGAAGUCAUUCAGUGAAGAGAUUUAUGGUUGAGCAUUGGCUCUAUGAUUUGCCCUUUUUUGAAAGAAACUUUCAUUGGUUUUAUUUUGUCUAAUCAAAAGGACUGUGUGCUUGCUCUUCUUGGUUGCAAUUUACAUUUUGUUGGAUAUUUUCGUCUUGAUUUUGUGAUUGCUUUCUGUGGGGAGGGAGUUCUCCAGCUAGGUUAGCAAUGAAUUUGGCUAGCCAAGGUUCAUGGAGAGGUUUGAAGAGAGGGCAGAAUAUGGGUUAGUGCAAUGGGAGGGUCUUGGAAUGUCUUGCAAAUAUCAUGGAAUAGUUUUCCAUGAAGCAUGUUGUAGCGUUAUUACUAUCUUGACACUUUACAGGUCAGAAAAUCUUUUUUUCUUUGGUCCAUGCAUGUCUACCACUUUCUUGGAUUAUGUGAAGAGAGGCCAUUAUAAGCUGCUUUCUUACAAAUUGUGAAUGGCAAAAUUAGAAUGAAGCACAUAGGUCCUACAUUUUCUUGCAAAAAAGUAACUUUUCGCCAUGAGAAUUAAGUAUAAUCAGCUAUAGUUUAUUAGAGGUUGACUAUGAAAAAGAUAAGGUUGCUUUUUGCAUGAUGUUAAUGAGCUUUGACAUGAUAUGGCAAACUAAGAAAUGAAAACCUAAGGAAAUGAAUUUGAUGUAUACAUCCACAUUGUAUAGCAAAAUUUUCCCCUAGCAAUAACUUAGUCUUUUUUUUACAAAACUAAUUUUUUCCAUCGAUGAUGGAUUUUAUAUCUUGCCUUGGGGUCACUAUUUGGCUAUUAUAGUUGAUCACAGGUUCAUUGUAUGAUUGCUAUCAUGAUUUUUUUUGUGAUGGAUUACAUCAUUUGGAUAUGGUUCAGUUUUUCUAUUUGCUCACAAGUUACUAUGACAGUUGUGACAUGAUCUUCAAUGCCUUAUUCGCAAGUUUGUCAAUCACCCCUACGUGGUUGCAACUUGGAGGGCCACAUAUACGGCAACUAUUGCAGCUAUCUAUCUUGAUGAUAUCAUUUUUUCACAAGAACCCUACAAGUUUGCUAUAUAUCUUGAUUUAAUCAUGCUUGUUCACAGGUUCCUUGCGAGAUUGAUGCACAUCUUGACUUUAUCAUGCCUGUUCACAGGUUCCUUGUAAUGUUUCUAUGUUAAUUUUAUAUGUGAUGGAUUAUAUGGUUUGGAUCUGGUUCGAUUUUGCCAUUUCAUAGGUUACUAAGAUGUCCGUUUUUAAUGAUGUCCAAUGUCUUCUUCUUUGUCGACCACCCCUACACGGUCGCCACUUGGAUGGCCACAUAUAUGGCAACUGUUGCAAUCACCAUCUAUGGGGUAAUGAUGCGCAGAGUGGCUUGGAGACAAUUGCUAGGAGGAAUCUAGAUGCCAUAUGUGGCAACCAUUGCAAUCAUCAUCUAUGGGACAAUGAUGCAUAGAGUGGCUUCGAGAUAAUUAAUAGGAGGAAGUCGGAUUUUUUGCCAUCAAUAUUGAUGAUGAGAAGCACUCAUAGUCUGAGACCAUCCAAUCCACAUGAUCCCCCAUAUCUUACCACUUGUUUUUUAUUUCACAUAUCUUACUUCUUGUCUUUUAUUUUUACUUAUUUUUUGGUUUGCACAAGAGAUGAGAGACCAAGGACUAUGGUUGCUGCACUACGAAGCAAUAAACAAUAUACUUGAUAUGUUUUCUCAAUCAUUUUUACUAUUAUGUAUGGAUUUUUGGCGUCUAAAUUUGUGAAAUAGCCAUGUACUGAGCAAGGGAUUUUGGAGGUUUAGUCUGGAUGCACCACCCCCUCCCACUUUUUCCCAUGUAACAUGGACUGCUAAAAGUUUGCUCAUGACUCCAUGGAUGAAAACCUAGGAAAAGUACAAAAUAUAUAAAAAUAAUUAUUAAUAAAGUAAUUUUUUAUUCAAUAAUUGAUAUUAAAUUUGGUAAGAAAAAUAGUUUAGGUUAUUAUUGAAGAUGACUAGUAGUUUGGAUAUUGAAAACCAAUAUAAGCCAUUAGUUAAAAGGUAAAAAUUGAAUUAAUAAUAAAAUAAAAUUAUUUUAUUAAGAAACAUAUGAUUAUUUCUACAAAAUCUUCAAAUAUUAUAUGUUCCCGUUAUAUAAGCUAAGUAAUAUUAUUUAAUAUUGACAGAAUAAAAAUAAUAUGACAAUAAUAAUUAAUUUGUUCAACACAUGCCCAUACUUAUAUACAUUAAGUAACAUAUAAUAUCACUCAAGUAUUAUGAAAAUAAUUGAUAAUAUAAUAAUAAUGUUUUAGUCUAUCAAUAUGUGCUCUAUAACAUAUAUUUUAUUCAUUUUAUCAAUAAAAAGGAUAUAUUUCCUAAAAGGACAUUUUACCACCCACUUCUUGGGUGAUGAUAUCUCCCCACUUUCAGACCAACCAAACAUCCAAAGUGAUUUGACGCAACUUACUAUACCGCACAUAUAAAACGAUUUCACCACCAACAAUCCUUACUUUCCUAACAAACCAUACAGCAAACGCACUCACUUUCAGAAAGAGCACUUUCCAAAAACGUCACUUUCAGAAGUGCCUCAAAGUCUCCUCCAAUCCACUUGUGCAACCAAACAGGCCCUUAGCCAAAAUGUUACAUUGUAGACUACUCCAAUGUAAGCAAACUAUAAAUAUGACAAAUAACUCAAUCACCUAUAUCCAGCAAUCUAGAACUUCCAGAAUGGCCAUCAACAACCCAAUACUUCAUAAUCCUAAAUCAAACGGUUGGAUCAUCAAUUGAUUGUGAUG
RNAcentral lists this long non-coding RNA (48678 nucleotides) under Phoenix dactylifera (date palm). Its description in RNAcentral is "long non-coding RNA (PDAC_LNC000706)". Lineage: Eukaryota; Viridiplantae; Streptophyta; Magnoliopsida; Arecales; Arecaceae. The record is from RNAcentral.